AAACAAAAUGUGCCAUAUUUUAAGGAACGGAUGGAGUAUCUUUUUUAAUUUGAUCUCACUUAUGUUGUGUGCGAAAAAUCUCACUUGAUUUUGAAAUCUUAUCUUCAUGGCAUUAUGAGGAUGAGGAUUAUGUAUUGUUAUUGUUAUUUCAUUAAAUACCAUUUAUACAGUUAUCAAGAAGAUUAUGUUUCACAUUGAUUAUAAAAGUUUAAAGACAUUAAAUAUAUACAUACAAAUCGAUUUCUUGUUUAUCUCCUAUUAAUUUGAUGGAGUAUCACAACCAAUAUUGGGUCACGGAUACCUUGCAUGUUUAUGCGAAUUGAUAUUUGUUGAUUUCAUAUUCAUGCACUGCUUUCUUCCGUUGUCGUGUCUUCUGACCUCACACCGUUGUAUUUUUUUUCUUUUUUCUAGAAUACACCGAAGCAAGCUUGUGCCAACUGCCAAGACAUGUUAAAGAUAGUAACCGAAUUUUGCAUCGAACAUUGGAUAUCCUGACAUAGAUACGAAUUGAUGGUUUCUAUCUCAUAUCAGAUAAUACACUAGCUAAAUGUGUGUGUUGAUACGGAAUCAAAGAUGUACUAUAUGUACAUAGAUGUGAUUUUUAAACUACUUAUGUGCUCGUAAUUUUCAUUUUAUGAUAUGAUAAGAUUUUUCUCAAAUAUUUUUUUUGAGAUAAUAAUUACUCAAAAAUAUACGUCAAACCAAUCAACUAUGAUAAAGAAAUCACAUAACAUACAAGUACCACAUUGAAUGGGUGGCAUGCUUGCAAUCUAUCGUGUGGCAGGACUUACCUUGUAUGCGGUUGGUUCUCAUGACCCUACUUCAUACCACUUUCACUUUUUAUUUUAUUGAAACUGAAAAUAGAAAAGCAUAAGAGCCUCGAGAGAUGAAAGAUUAGAGAAUUAUUAGGACGUUGUUGACCGUUCUUAACCUAAGAAGAACAUACGGAACUGGUAGAUUUCCUAGCGUGUUUGGUGUUGAUCGUUACCUUCUGUGUGAAUCCGGUGUAUCCAUAAUGUGUUUGAGGCUUUUCUCGGAGAAGAAAUUAAACAAUGACGGUAUCUCAGCAUGGGCUAACUCUAUGCCAGCCGACACAGUAAGACACGUGAUAAUGCAUAGCCCCUGCUUUAGGGAGGGCUAAACGGGGAGACCCGAGAACAGAUAGGCAUGUCUCAUCUUUUCCUCGAUUGGUUGCGUUUAGGAUCCUCGCGCUCAAGAUAGUAAUAUCGAUCGUGAUGGCCAUUUGCCUACGUGGCUAGGUAGCUCUUGUCCUGAUUUCAUGGCAAGGGGUUUGACCCAAAUGCAUGCAUGCAUGGCGAGGCCAACUCUGUGAAGCAGAAAACUGAUCGCCGUACGGCCGUACCACGCAUGGGUGCUGAGUGAAUUCAUCGUUGCACAUGCUGAUCGAUCUCCCUUUUGUUGUCGUUGGGGCCAGCGAGGCAUACGGCUCACUACUUAUCCAUUUAAUUACUUCACGGGCCUUUGACCUGAUCGAUCCCAAAAUAUCUCAACAACACGGGGCAUCUCACGUUCCGGCCCCCAACAUUCACGGCCGGAUCAAUAGUCGAGAUAAUCAAUGGACAGGACUCAGGAGGAGUCGGAGAAGCCACCAGUGGCGUACGUUGGUCCAAAAACUGGAGAGCCGGUGUCGUGUCGAGCUCCGUGUCGCCCGUUGCGCACGAACCACAGGUCCGGCAGGGAAGGCCCCCUUUGACGUGCGCGCGGCCGUGGUGGGCGCCGGCGGGCGCGUAGUUGUCAACUUUGAGGCGGUGCACACGCGCGGAUGGAACAGAAAGCAGCGCACGGGCCCGCGCUUUCAUGUUGCGCUUGCGCUUGCGCGCCGAGGCCUUGAGAUGCCGAGCUUUACAUUAUUGGAUCACGGCUCUCCGUCACUCUCUUUUGGUUCGGAUUUCCUUUUCCCACCUCAUCACGUGCGGCGGACGCGGGGCGGAGGCAGGUGGCGCCUGGCGAUCGCCGGGGCCGGAGCGGAAGCGGAUCGGUUGCUGUUCAAUCAUAGGAAACGGGGGUAAACUGUCGGUGUGGUCGCUCGAGGACUGAGGUGUAAAGGGGCACGGGUGGGCUGCUUGGGGCUGAUGGGUCUCGGUCAUUCGGUGCGGAUCCAGGUCACGUGUGGCCGUGUGGGUAACCUUCCCUUUAGGCGAGGGAACGUGGAGAUGGGGACGCUGUCCAGCGGAUUGUGCUCUGAUUCGCGAGGCUACCUCGAAAGAUUGGAAUAUUUCCGGUCGGGGCCCAAACAAAGCAUCAUCCUAAACUCGAGACCGAAAGAGCGACCAAUCUAAACUUAAGCUGCAGCUUACUCCUGAAAGAAAAACUCCAGCUGCAACUUGCAAGUUCCUCUGUAUUGUGCAUAUAAAAAAAAUUCUUUCACAUGAAAACAAUUCGUAGUGCAAUUCCAGUGUUAUUAGUACUCCUCUGACUCUAAAUUCUUGAACUCAAAUUUGUCAAAAUAUGGAUAUAUCUAUUUUUUUAAAACGUCUAGAUACAUAUAAUAUUUCGACAACAAUUUAGAAUCGGAGAAAGUACAUGGUAUUAUUGUACAAUAAUACGUAGUGAACAGGAAUACAACAUAGCACGAGUAUUCCUCUGUAGUACAUACAUAGUCUGAGUGAUCGCGGAAUCACGCGGAAAAAGACCACGCAUUUAAACAUGGCCCAUGAAAUAAAUACAAAAGCUUUCUCUAAAUCAAAGGCGAUCGCAGUAUAUACACUGUACAUAUGGCAUCUCGCACCGCGGCAUUUUGUGCAAUCAUAAGACGGCAUAUGCAUAGGCCCCUCGUGGCUCCUCAUGAAGAAACACCGUGUUUAAGCUGGCAUUCAUUCCGUUUAGUCAGUCACUGUAGCUAGUAGUGCUCAUAUUUGGUUGUCUUGUCACGUGUGAAAUCUUCAAAAUAAUUCCGUCGGUACGCUCAUAUGGAGUAUCCUCCAAAAUUAUAUACGGUACGUGAAUUUCCGUUUGAUCAGGACACGUAGCAAAAAAAAAAUACUUGAUAGGACGCUAGUGAGUAGUGACACGUACUAGUAGUCUUUGGUUGUCAUGUCACAUGACACGUAACUUGUCAAACAAAAAUAUUACGGCUGGUUUGGCACCCGUCAUUUUGGUAUAGAAUUUUUGAAUUCAUUUUGAAAUAAAAAAACAACUUGUCUGGUUGGCACGGAAUUAGCCACAAGAAUUCAAUCUCAAAUUUCAUGGAAUCACACUAUAACUAGCCUCAAUUCCUCUCUAAAAGUCAUCAUUUAUGUAGAAUUGUCUCGCUCUUCAAUUCCAUGUGGUAGACAAACAUGAUUUUUCAAUCCGGAAUUCAAAUUCAACCAAAUGAAAUGCUAUCAAAAAUUGAAUUUCAUUUCGUUUUGAUCAAAGGAAAUGAAUUCUUGGUUGCCAAACGAGCUGUUAUAUAAAAAAGAUCCCUAUAGAACAUAGGUGAACCGGCUGAUCAGCUGAUGGAUCGUGUAUUACAUACUCCCUCCGUCUGAUAUUAAGUGACUCAAAUUUGCUCAAAUAUGAAUGUAUCUAUUUCUAAAAAAACGUCUAGAUACAUGUAAUGUAAUAGAAAGUCAUACGAGACGUAUCGUGCGGUACAUGCAUGGGCAUAUGAUGUGUGGCCUCUCCCGCUGCAACUCCCCAUUGGCGCAUCCAUCGCGUCGCCGGUCGCUCCAUGCAUCUCCAUCCACGGGCCAAGCAGUUGAAUGAUCGAAAACCGAGUUACUGUAUUCAUCGACCAUGUGUGCUUAUAUACAUGAGAGUUUACAGCAGUUUGUUACAACAGAAUCCUAUACAGGAGAGGCUACGUGCGGGAUAAGGACGCAUGCAUGCGUACUGGCCGCGGUGAUCGCGCUCUGGGUGUGGCCAGGUGCGCCACGAUUUGGCUGCCGGUAGAAUCAGGAGGAAUCCAUUGAGGGGCGACGCCUGUAGUUUGCCAACACAAGCCUGCCGGUAGACUCAGGAGGAAUCCGUUGAGUUGCAGGUGCGGCUUGCUCGGAUCGUGCAUGAACAGGCAAGCCUGCUGUACAUCAUGGGAGAUGUCGGGGCGCAUGAGAGUGAGGUACUGGAGGGCACCUGCGAGGCUGCGGUAGUCAGAGGGAUUUUUGACAGGAGAUCCCUCGGAAGCGGACAGCUUGGCCUCGGCGUCGAUGGGCGUGGAGAUGGGUUUGCUGUUCAGCAUGCCAGCGCGCGAUCUAGGAUCUCCAGAGCAUAUUGCUCUUGGGAGAGGAAUAAGCCAUGGGGGGAACGCUGAACAUUGAUGCCGAGGAAGUGGUGUAGAGGACCAAGAUCGGUCAUGGCGAACUCCUGGUGGAGAUUACGGAUGAUCUGGUGGAGCAGCACGGUAGAGCUGGCGGUGAGGAUAAUGUCAUCGACGUAGAGGAAGAGGUAUGCGAUGUGGGCGCCUCGUCGCAGAAUAAAGAGCGAGCUGUCACACUUAGAGGAAACGAAUCCCAUCGUGAGUAGAUGAGAAGUAAAACGGGUGAACCAAGCCCGCGGAGCCUGUUUCAGCCCAUAUAAGGACUGAUGGAGGUGGCAGACAUGGUUGGGAUAGUUGGUGUCGAUGAAGCCCGACGGCUGCUGCCCGUAAACGAUCUCGUCCAAGUGCCCGUGGAGGAAGACGUUCUUCACGUCGAGCUGGUUGAUCGGCCAAUUGUUUUGAACGAUGAUGGAGAGAACAAGCCGAACAGCCGCCGGUUUGACGACGGGACUGAACGUCUUGCCGUAGUCGGCUGGGAAUGGUGGUCUCACCGAGGCCGGUGUGUGUCAGCGGCCGGCGCCAUCGCCGGAGAAAAGGGGUUGAGAAACGGCGUAGUAGCCGCUCCUUGAGCAGUGAGAGAGGUUUUGAGAGACCUCAGUGUCGCCCAUUGCGGAAGCAGGUAGAGGAGCUCGUGGCUCUGAUACCAAGUCGAAUGAUCGAAAACUGAGUUACUGUAUUCAUCGAUCAUGUAUGUUUAUAUACACGAGAGUUUACAGCAGUUUGUUACAACAGAAUCAUAUACAGGAGAGGCUACGUGCGGGAAAAGGACGCAUGCAUGGGUGCUGCCCGCGGUGAUUUCGCUCUGGGCGUAGCCAGGUGCGUCACGAUCUGGCUGCCGGUAGACUCGAGAGGAAUCCAUUGAGGGACGGGGGCGACGCCUGUAGUUUGCCAACACAAGCCAGCCAGGGGCAAAGGGAACCAACACUGAACCGAACCGGCACCCCUGCCACAAACCUGGCAUCAAUGGUCACGUACGGAGGACGUUGUCCGGAUCACGAUGCAUCUUCUCCUUUGUUGCCGCGCGACAAACGCUAGUCCCUAGCUGUCCUCCGGCUAAGCUAGCUCGCGAUGCAUGCGCGGAGGCUACGAGAAUAAUCGGACGUCCCGCACGGCCCCCGAACGCGCUUUUGCUUCCUGGUCGCAAGGCACGAACGCAUGAACCGGGCAGGGGGCUUGAUUAUUUUGAUCUUGCUGUUUUGGGACCAAACUAAAGGUAAGCGCCGGCCGGCCGGAACACCUUGCGUGCAGUACUACCUGACAGACAGUGUUGGUGUUCCGUAAUUGCUCGGUUGCUAGCCGCGACGCCGGCCUGACAGCUUUGCUACUAGCGCUGAUCCACAGCCGGCCCACGCACUGUUCGGGGUCUUGGGAGCUUGUCUCGUUUGCGUGUCGGGGCGGUCGAUGGACAAACGUUGUUGGGCGAGAUUUCAGAUCUCGAUCACAACUGGUAGGACUAGUCCAGCUAGCAAGCAAAAGGUGGCUGUGGGUGUUGCUGGCAGAAUUGGAUCGAUUGAUGGAUGUCGUUUGGAUCCAUCAGUUUGGUCUCCUUUUUUAGAACGCGUGCCGCGUGCGUGCGCGGGAGAUUUUUUUUUUUGAGGGGAAUUUUUAUUUUUAUUUUUCCCGAGAUGUGCGUGGGAGAUGUUGGCCAUGCUUAUUGGGCUCUUCAUCGCCUGGCACUAUGGGGCCUAUAGCCCCAGCCCAGUAACCCACCAUUGCCUGGCACACUUACGGAAAAGAUUUGUGUAAACAGCGAUAUGUGUAUUGGCUGGUCGUAAUCGAUCCUGCUUCACACAUAGUUUAAGCUCUCGUGAAUUGAGUCACUUUGAUGUGUGAUCAUGCACCAAAACGGACCCUGCAGCGUAAGUUAAGCAAGCUGUAAAAAAAUACCCGCCAAAGAAAUUACUGGUAGUCAAUGCGAUCCACGAGCCGUGCCGACCCAUGCGCAUGCAGUGACGCAACAGCGCAAGGCCAGGUACCUUGCACAUCGACCCGGUCGCAACUUACAUCACGUCCCUAGUUCACAGAUCCCCAGAUGACGCCCACACGACCGAAGAGCUCGAUCCAUGUUUUGGCCAUUCCUUAGAUUUAGCCGGUGCUGAUGCACGAUCAUUCGUGGAACGAGCGACGUCGUCUCCAAUUCAUUCGAUCUGUCGACGGCGCGAAGAGAGAAUCGGGAAAUCCGUGUAACCGUCAUCGCCAGUCCCGUAGCUAGUUUUUUUUUAAGGCCAGUCCCGUAGCUAGCUAGCUAGCCAGGAAUCGUUGAUCUUUCGGGUCGGGCGGCCAGCAGCAUGGGUGGACGACAUGGAUGCAUGGGUCGGGUCGGGUCGGGGGACUUGGGACCGUCCAAGUCGCCGGGUCGGACUCUUGACCCAGCAUAUUUGACCACUACGAACCCAGCUCGAUUGAUCGUUGCGGUGACCUCUCGGCCAAGGCAGGCAGGCAGGCACUGACCCGAUCCAUCCGCGCUCCGGCAGUUCUGCCCCUUUCCCAAGUCUCCCAGGCUCCCAGCGCGUACAAAAGGCCUCCACAGCUCCUCCAGCCAGUCCCAGCUCACCGGUGCACCACUACGUACCGCGGUGCAGGCCUGCAAUCAAAUUAAAACACAGGAGCUGUAGAUCGAUCAGUAGCUAGCUAGGCAGGCAGCCAUGCUCGGGAGGAAGAGAGGAGGGUCGUCGUCGUCGUCGUCCAGGCCGCACGCGGAGGACGCAGCCCCCGCCGGGGGCACCAAAACCGUCGUCGCCGAUGGCGGGCGGCAGGAGGUGACCGUGUCGCAGUUCGUCGCGCAGCUAGGUGAAAUGAAAAUCAUACAGCACUAACCUCAGUCUACAUUAUUUCUAGCGGAGUUGAAUUGCGGGGAAACAUAAUAGACUCCGUAUAUGUGCUGUAUUCAUAUAUGAUUUCCCUUGUGUAACGUUCGGCAGAUGAGGCGGCACGGGAGAGACUGGACCGCAUGAACCGGAGGCUGAGGCUGCUUGAGCAGCAGAUGGAGACGCUGGAGGCGGAGGUCGGGAGAGCCAGCACUACAGACAACUGAUCCAUUUUCCUUUCUUAAUCUCCGGUCGGAAGAUGCUUUAUGCUUAGUUAGCUAGAAGCCUUUCUGUUUCUCCUUUCGUACUGAUCGACGAAAGGAUAUGGUGAUCUCUUAGGUGCUUGCUUGUUUAGGCUAAUUUUCCUGCACAUGAUUAGUGGUUGAUGGUAUUGCUCCGGAAACUUUGCCACGUUCGGGGGCGGGAUUCCGAUCCAUGCUGUGAGGGGAUUGACUUUUGGGGUGGCUUGGAAAAGUAUGUGAACGGCGAUGAAUUCAUAGUCACUUUCAUCCUGUGUGGAAAAUGGGUGCCGUUUCCCAAACAUGCAUGCUGGACCUCUGACUUCUAUACUCACUGAAAUAAUAAAUGGAUUGAGUUGAUCAGUUGAUCUAGGAUAUUUCUAUAGCAAGUUUGUAUUGAUGGAGACAGCCUGAAAUUUGAAAUUUUGCCAGUAAGUACUGCCUACAUAAGAUUAUCAGUAAAGCUGCUCCAAUAAUUUGCAUUAAGACUACUUCACAUAGCUCGUUAAAAAAGACUUGAUGGCAGGUUUAAGCUUCACCUUUCCCAGGCGUGUUCUGAGCUGAGAUGCAGGUAAAAGGAGAAAGUGCCACUCCCCAAGAACUUAUGUACAUUGAACCCUGGCUUUUGCAUCAGUUCUGAGCAAAACUUUAUACAACACAAACUCCCUUCUCCGGACUAAAUCCAUUCAACGAACCGUAGACCUCUUGUACAAGAGCAUGAUACAAUAGUAGUUUGACAUGCAAACUAAAAAACAAAAGGCAAGAAAAUGGCGAAUUACCGAGACACAACAAGACACACAGAUGCAUCCACCAGCGCAACCAGAUAUCAGUACAUCGAGCAUCUUUGUAUUGCUAUUCACAAGCUAGCUUGGUACCAAAGCUGCUGAGGCUGAUGGCAAAGGCUUGAAAUGCUGAGAGUGGCUGCCGAUAAUCCAUUGUGAAGAUAUCGUCGUCGACCUUACCAAACUGCAGCAGAACUGUAUCCUCAUCCCUGGAGCCAGUAGGGUCAUUGGGGUCGGCAGCAGCAACCAACUGGAAAUUCUUGACAGAUGCAACUGUUACCCGCCCAUGGAAGUUCAAGCACCAGCACUGCAAGUGCUCAUGCCAGCGUGGGGCUUUGUUUCUCAAAACUGUGGUUCCCAUGGGCUUCUGGAACUUCGACUUCAGGGAGUUCUCCCAAGUCUCUUGAGUUGAAGGGCACUCAAGUGCACAAUACAUUCUCCUGGGCCCUCUGGAUUUGAGGAGGUUGUAUUUGUAUGAAAGCUGUCCAACUUCAUAGUUGCCUGCCGAUACUUGUGGACUUAUUCUUCUACUUCCAAAACGCCGACUAGAUCGACUACUUGAUGCUUUCGCGCCAUCAUAUGGUGGCUUGCUAUCAUAUACUUUGAAGUUUGUUCCCCAAAAAUCAGAUCUGAAAAGGGUACAGAAGAAGCACAAUCAUAUCACUGGGUAAAAUAUUAAAUAUCAAUGUAAGCAUGAAAACAUAACAUACAGUUAGCUUCCAAAUUGUCUGCAAGCCAAACAGAGAUCAUAGAAAUGUCAUGUAACCCCCCAGCCUAGGACACUGAAGUCCUGACUUCAGAUUCCAAUAACUGCCACAAUACUUCACUUCAGCAACCAAUUGCAGUUUUUUUUAUUAGAAAAUAUCAAUAGGGAGGGCCUUACUGAAAAUACAUGCUAGCAAUAUGGAAAUGUACCAUUUACCCUGCCCAAUUAGCGUCAGUAUGAAUGCACCCUCAAAACACAAACAAAUCAAGUGUUUUUUUAUUGCCUUAAUUAAUACCAGAUCUGCUAUGGCCAGUCCCAUGAGAGCGGACAUUUCAAAAAUAGUAUUUGAAAGUUUCAACCAAAUUGUGUAAACAAUUAUGUGUGUAGAAAUGCCAGGUUUGCUGGAGCGACCGCCCCGCACCGCGCCACACGACCCCGCCGCACGGACCAUGAAUAUUAAUCUGCAUGCGACGUAACAAAUUUACGUCGAGGAGUAGUAGCACCGAGCGCACGUCUCGUCUCGGUAUCUGCAUGCAACGUAACAAAUUUACGCCGGAGUAGUAGCAGCGAGCGCACGUUUGAGGCAGCAGCAGCGAGCUCACGUCUCGUUCGGUAUCUGCAUGCACCGUAAUAAGUUUACGUUGAGGCAGCAGGGGGCAUAAUUUGUGAGGAGUGUCCACUGUGUUUGGAUGAGACAUAAGAAAGUUACGUUGCAGCUUAUAACAACGUAGGAUGCUAGUCAACUAGUACGACCUUAAAUUACGGCAAGCGAUCGAGUGGUUCAGAAGGCUCUGUUGCUUGGUCACGUUGAUUCAUAAAUCACCGGAUUGCUAUUUUUUGAGUGGUUAAAAAAAUUACGUCGCUGGGGUGCUCGCUCGGUCGGGUGGCCAGGUUGGUCCGGUCGUCCGGCUAGUCAGAACGACCAGGGUGAAGAAUAGUUAUUCUACACCAUGGGUAUCUAAUAGAGUUUCUAUGUGUGUAGAUAUAUAUGUAUACUACAUAUGUGUAAAUUUUUUUAUUAAGAAAUAAUUUAAUGUGAGCUACACAAAGAAAAAGAAAAAGAAAAAUAUGUGCAUCUACCCUAGAUAAACAGUGCAUCUAUUAUAGAUCCACAUAUUUUUGUUUUUUGUGUAGCCUACAAAUUAAAAUACUCCCUCCAUCCCAUAUUAAGUGUCUCAACUUUGUCUAAAUACGCAUGCAUCUAUACACUAAAACGCGUCUAGAUACAUGUAAAGUUGCGACACUUAAUAUGGGAUGGAGAGUAGUUCUUAACAAAAUUUUGCAGGUAGAUAUAUUAAACAUUCAAAUGUACGUGUAACUUUUUUUUUUCAAAAUUAUUUAAACUUCUAGAUAUGCUUUUCGUAUUUUUGAAAAUUUCGCCCCAAAGGUGCACAAGCUCCAUUAUGCAUUUUCACAGCCCCAUGCACUACACGAAUUCAAGCACUAUCACAGGCGAUGUGUGGAUUGGACUUCAUAUGCAUACAAAGGUGAAUCUUCUCCUUUACAUGUGUCCACCUCACUGAUACCAAUGUCAGUAAACAGAGAUCACGGCUACCUUCGAGCCAAGGCCGAUGCACGAUGCCGAAGCACGAGGCCAAAGGAAGCCGAAUCCUGAGCCACCGACUUUAAUCCCGGUGCCACCAAACUUGCCAGAGGGACCCACCUCGUUGAAGUGCACUGGAGAUCAAAAGGAAACCCGGCACCAUCGCCGCAAAACACCAAAAGCACCGACAUCAGUGAAGUCGAAGCACGAAGCCAAAACAAGUCGGUGCUACCGAGUCCACCGCUUGCCACACACACCCACCCUUUCUUUCCCUCUAGACCCAGUUUAGACUAUGUUCUGAGCGUUUAAUUCGUGAAGACUGGGCAACAAUCCGUAUCAGGAUCACUCCACUCCCGAGAACAAGUAUUUGAUAGUGGUUGUCUAAAUCAGGACACGUCAUCCAGUUCUGUACAUGUGGUGCCUACAUCACUUUCUUCCAUGGGUCUGCUGGAUCUGCUCCAUGGCACCAAGGAUUGCAUUAAUUUUACAUAUCUAACCCGUUCAGAAAUUAACUAAUCCAUCAUUGUUUCCAUCACUAUGGCCCGUAAAGCACCUAUUGGUAGUAGUACCACUGUUUUCUCUGCCUCAUUUUCUGGGCCGACUUUGUCUAGAUCCCUGCAACUCCUUGAUCAUCGCUAGUGUUCGGCCAAGGGAUAAACGUCAGGGAUCAAAUGUAUUUUGAGAUGGCCGGUCAAGGCACUGAUUAAUCACAAGGCUAACUCCUGUUCGUUUCUCUAACGACUACUUUUAUAACUCCUGUAUGUGACUUUGAUUACUACUUUUAUGCGCACAAGGCACGUACCAGAGUCUAGUUCUUGAUUGGGAUAGCACCAUGAGGAAGUAGCUGGGCAUGAGGUUAAGAUAGGAGACAGGGGGAGCGGCAGCAUGCAGAACAAGUGGAUUUUUCUUUUCUUUUUUUGAAAAGAAAACUCUCUUCCUUCACUUCGAGCAGGUGAGGAAGAUGAGCAGCAAAAGGCAGUAAUCUGAUUUGAUUGCCAUGUAGAGAUGAGAGGUGAGAGAAGAUGUUUCUUUCACGUAGGAGAUACACCAAUGACAUGGCUGCGAUGUAUGCAAUACCGCCUUCAAAAGCGGCUUCAAGGGGUUAAGGUCUGUUUGGUUGGAGACCUGAAGACUGCCUGACAAAAUAUGUUGCCUGAAAGUAGCCUGUGAACUCAAGUAUAUUUGCCUGGCCAGGCACAUAUUUUGUUUGGUUGAUACCCUGUGCCUGAGCAAAAAUGUUUAAAGAAAGGGUGAAGUGCAGGUUCAGGCACACUCACUUAAAGAAGCUACAAGCUCAGGCGCGUAAUUUUGGUGGCCUGAGUCAGGCAGCUUGUCCGGCAGCAAGCAAACAAUUCAGACGCAGUACUCAGGGAGGCUCGUGGCCAGGCACGUUUGCAUCAGGUUAGCAACCAAACACGCUCUAAGUGAUUAAGUAUUCAAAGUCCAGGGAAUUAAGUAAGCCAUAAAAAACUUCAGGGGAUAUUCAAUAAUGAUAAUAAUAAAACUUAGGUCUAUAGAACUCCAGAAAACAAAACAAAAAAGGGAACACAAAAGUUAGCGAAUGUGAAACUAUUAUAAAACUGAAAAGCUUGCAAACUCCCGAGCAGCAAAGACCAAGUCUUAAGACAUGAUGGAAAUACUUCAGCGGUCAAUCACUGAAUUGCAAGGAUGCAGGGGAUUCCAUGUGACUUGCAAACCACCAGAUCAAGGAUGAGCAAAGCAGCUUAGACAUGCGGCAUGGCACCAAGUCAAAGGGUUUGUAGUAAAACACUACAAAUUAUACACCCUUUGACUGAACCAUCAAAACAUAAGUAGCGUACAGAAGACUAAUACAAUGUGAAAAAUGGUGCUAAUUGUAAUUCAAGUUGUACAGUGUCUAAAGGUUUGGUCACCCCACGGCCCUAGGUCUGUUUCAUGAAUCAAAACGUGUUGAACCAAUUAUAUUACUGGAGCCAAUUUGUUAGCACUUAGCAGAAUAAAAAAAAUAGCGCGGUAGUUUAAAGCGAACUCCAAAGCGAUGUAGAACCUCACCUUAGUUUCCCCAUAUAUGCAUUGCUCCCCUGUGACAAGUCAUCAGCAUCAAGGGAUAUAAUGUAUUCAGUAUGGGGACCACGCCUAAAUCUUCUCGCGGCCAUGAGAAACUUCCCUUUAUCCACAGUGGCUGUCAGACAUGAAUAAUAUGUAUUGGAUUAUUAAGCAUCAAGCACAUUCGAUAGUGAAGGAAAUUAGCACACAGCCACGCAACAAACUUCAUCCUUCCGCAGUUGAGGUUAAAGAGGUGAAGAAAAUCACUGCUUAUAAAUGCAUAAACAGGUACCGCCUAAGCACAUAAGUGUUACAGGUAGUAAAAAAGAUCAAGUGUUAAGUUUUAAACUACAUUAUCACCACUAAAUCUGUAAAACUAUCUGAGCUCCAAAAUAUCCAGGCUAAUCUUUUUUUUUACUUGCGGACUCCAAAAUAUGCUCAAACAUGCAGCCGUAGGUGUGCCUCAAAACCCUUGUAAUAAUUAUUUAGAACCAACUGAUACAAAUAGUGAGCAGCAGCAUUCAUUUCUUAGAAACACACGCCAACUAUAACAGUCCAGAAUUUAGUAGAUUUAUGAACACUAUAAUUCAUUAUUCAGUCCACUUGUCCUCCAACAACCACAAUUUAAUCAUAGUCAUGUUAUUAGUCAAGUUUACUCGUGGAAAGGAUGUCCGUCUUACAUAAUAAAUAUAACAGAGAGUAUUUUGAGAUGAAAGAACAGUUGAUUCUCUUCAGACGAAGUUCAAUUAAUGUUUAGAUCCUAGACAUAUGCAACAUUAAAUACAUAUGAGAAUAUCAAGGCAGUAGUUACAUCAGACAGACUUACCAGUUGUCAAGCCAAGGUAGAGGUAGAACGUAGAGUUCUUCUUAUUCCGCUUGAUAAAACACUGCAUUGGGAACUCCCUUGUCCCAGGCUGUUUCACAACAUGGUGUAAGAUUACGCAUACAGAUGCUGCAUAAGAAACUUUUGCACUGAAAUCAUACAUAACUGAGUCACCCCCCUCAAACACAUAAGAAAAUAGCUUCAACCAACACAUAAUUUGCAAGCAAUUUCUGAUUGUGGAAGAGUGAUAUUAAAAUCCCAAUUGACCUAGUCUUCUCACAGGGUCACGACAAAAUAUGCAAGCCUAAAAUUUCUGAUUGUUGAAGAUUUUCCCAAGCCGCCAACAGGUCAAGCUUCAUUGAAACCACCGACCAAAAUACACCUAAUUUAGUGUCCCCGAAACCAAGAAUGAGAACUUAACUGUACUUUAGACCCAUAAACUUAUCUAAAAUGGCACAAGAACUGAUUAAGGUCCUAUCUGAUUCGCCUGCAGGAACAGGACUCUUCCUUGUGUAAUUCCUGUGAAUCUAAAGAGACCUUGAGAAUUAACUCGGCUUCAAAAGUUUAUGGACCACUCCCACAAUCUUUUUUAACGAAUCCAACAAAACAUCGCAGCUAAAUUUACAAGUCCAACCCUCCAAAUCGCAGGAGUAAGAAAUCUCAGCACCUACGGAAAUGGUCCGUAUGCAGGUGAAAUUUGCCGCACAGGCGGUCAGCCCUUGCGCAUUAGUAAAAGAGCAGUAAUCCGAUGCCCCAGUCUCAAUCUCAUCUAAGAGUGAAACCUUCGAAAAAUAACGGACCGAAAGGAGGAAAUAGCUUCACCGGUCCAGCAGUCCUUAAGAAAAAAAAAGUACUCGACAUAAUGGGGAUCGCCAGUUCGCCACAGCCCCUACACCAGCAUACACCGAAUCGGAAGCAGAGAUCCCCAUGAAUCAACGGGUAAGAGGGCCUAUGGACCAGGCAGAGCUCCCAUUCUCACCUGCUUGAGCGAGGACGGGAAGGUGAUCUUGCCAGAAACCGCUGGCGGUCGCACGACGGCGACGGCGGCGUCGCGCCACCGGCGGCAGACGCAGGCGCAUGAGACCACGUCCUUGCGAGCCGGCCACCGCUCCCCACCGGACGCCUCCACGCGCCGCACCACCUCCGAGAGGAGCUCCGGCAGAAGGCGCGCCCACCUCUCCUCCUGCUCCUCCGCCUCCGCCUGCCCGCCCUCCUCCGCCUUUUCCUCCACCUCCACCACCUCCGGAACCUCGCCGCGCUCCGCCGCUGGCUUCUCCCGAGGCAUGUCUUCCGCCCACCACUGUACUGCCUCCCCACUAGGUCGCGGGGCACUUUCUUCGGUUUUGGUUGUUUCUCCCUUUUCUUUUUUCCAACUGUAAUCAAAACCGCGUUUGGCGACGAUAGAGAGGACAUUGAGUACUUGUCUGGAAAAGUGGAUCUAGCACUAACAGACAGGUAGUACUGUGCUGCGGCCUGCGCGUGCGCUUCGUUGAAUUCCACUUGAAUUCCAUUCCUUUUCCGCAGUGGUAUCAUAUAGUCGCGGUAUAGUUGUAAAACAAUCAUGGGUACACAAAAUGUCACUCCCUUUUCACCGUGGAAGCCAGUCGCGGCAACUCAUUAUCACAAAACACGAGGACAGCUGAUCGAAGAAAUAAAGGACAACAAAGGUUUGGGUAAACUGAAAGUUACUUCAAAAAAUCGAAAUUGCCUGAAGCCUGGGAGUAGACAGAUCGGGCCCACCCAAAGACAAACCCGAAAUACUUAGUGUCCCAUAAGAAUGUCUCCACAACUCCUCUCUGGCUAACCUUUUAUGCCUCUUUCUCUUCCUUCCUCUUGUUGAUAUGCAAAUCAAUCUAAGUCAGCUGUAAUCUGCAGCACUGCAUGUAAGUCGGAUCGAAAUGGCAAAUAUAUGUGACUGAAAGAUGUUCUGAAUUCUCAUUCAAUUAGUAGCUCUGAUUGGAGGGGGAAACUGAAGAAAUGGUGCCAUUUUUUUCCUAACAAUUAUGAACUACAGUACUGUAAUUCUUGCCGAAUACUUGGGUUUACAACUGAUAGCUCCAUGAGCUACUGAAUUUUCAGAGAACAAUUCAACAAGCUUUGCAUACAUACACAUUAUGAAAGCAUGUAGAGCCACUGUAUCAAAAGCAGAGCUAAUAAACAACCCGUAUGUUCUACUUUGCAAGCCAGAUUUCUUGCCAUUGAGAUUCUCCUUAGACUCGGAUGAGCACAUCAGGAUGACUGGCGAUGCAGUAUUGGCUGUACGCGUGGUCGCCCGCGACCGACCAAAGACAAGGACGGGAUGGUCGCGACGCGACGGCUUCGAGGAUGAAAACGGGAUGGUUACGGCAGCGACGACGGUGAGGAAAGACGACGACGACGACAUGGUUGUGAUAGAGGCAGCGACCAAAGAUGAGGAUGGAGAUCCAUGAUGUUGUCGGAGAACCAGCAGCGACAGCAAUCCAGAGCCGGGUCGCAGCCUUGCAGGCACGAGAAAGAAGACGAUGAAUGGCUCUGACCGAUUGGUUUUGGGCUUGCCUGGGCCUGGACUUUGGGUAAACAAAGGCGACCAAGGGAGAAAAAAAUUAACAGCCAGCUCGUAGCCACGUACAGGUAAAGUCAUACAAGCAUCGGAUGGAAAUUGUCUUACGCAUAGCACGUCCGUCAAAAAAUUUGGAGUCAACUUCUCUAGCUGGGUCAUUUGCGUUUUGAUAUUUUUUCAAAUCUUCGAUAACGAAAUAGUAUAAGACCAAAUCUGCAUAAACUGGACGGACCAUGUAGGUUUUACUGCGCCGUCCACCUCAGCUGGUGAGAACUUAAGAUCGUUGAACGUGCGUUGGCGGGAGACGCACCUCUCGUAAGACAGGCUGUCGAACCAUUAAAUCAUCACCGGACCGAUGAGAAAGAAGACCAAAAUCACGAAAUUACGAGUCGAAAGAUCCGCAAACUCCAUUGAAUAGACCAUUAUAGUCACGCCAGAACGAAAAUGAAGCCAGGAGACUCCAUUGCCGGAACUCCGUCGUCAAGAACACGCAAAACCUUACCACAAAUGUAACAAGACGAUCGUCAGUUGUUGAUCUGUCCCCUAUUGAUGGCCAAUAGGCUAUUGCAGACAAGGGGACCCACGAAGACGGAAACGAUGGUUUUUCUCCCGGCGGCCCGUGCCCUCCAUCUCCGACAUCCUCCGACCAUCGCCCCCACCAGAUAUGGCACCUCCACGGGAGAAUCUGGCCGGUCAACUCAUUAAUCGUUGCGGCCGCGAGGCGCUGGAGGUCGCUCCGCGCCUCUCCGCAGUCAUGGAGCUCUAGUCAGGCACGGACAACUCUUCGCCGCUAGCAAGUCCGAUAGGAGCGCGCACGGAAACGCGACAGCCUCACCCGGUCCCGUCUGGGCUAGCCUUGCAGUGUUGUGAGCAAGUCGUUGCCGCCCGCCGCAUGUAAUCGGAGAGCUCACGGGUCGGAAUCCACCGGGCACCCCACCCUUUGAUGACGAGGCGAGGCUACGGGCGCGAAUGAAGCGGCAGUCAGUAGUCCCCGUUGUCACCGACGCUAACGCGACAGUGCGUGGAGCACAAGAUCAGGCGGCGGCGUGGCGCACGAAGGCGUUUCUCCCGCCAUACAUCGAAGUCUCCUCCGAGAGCGAGUGAGCUCGCGUUUCCACCGCGUUUGAAGGCUCCGGUGAAGUAUCCCGAUAGCACCUUUUGCUAGUAAUUGUAGUUAGGUUAGCGUUCACGCGAACCGUGUGUGUGCUGAACUAUAUGCUAACACAUAUCAGAUGAUCACUAUGUGCUAUCUAUGGUAUCAUGAUCAAAUUCUCGUGCGACCUGUUUUUCUUACAAGUAUCUAUGCGAUCCGAGCUCAUGAGAUACCGUAUUAAAUCAAAUUUUACGGAUGGCUACGUAAGGGAUUUGCCAGAGAUAUCCUAAGGGCUUGUUUGGUGUUAGUGUUUUUUUAGUCACUACUGUUUUGAUAUUUGAGGGUUUUGGGUGUUUAUCCAAAACUCUCAAAAACCCAAGACAUAGUGUUUUUUAGAAAAACACUAGUACGAGAAGUGUUUUAAUUUGGUACAAAAUUGAGUGUUUGUGGAAGAAAAUUAGGAAUAAUCGUCUCUAAAUCUUUCCUAACAAAUAACAAUUUGAGAUUUCUAAUAUUUUUCAAUUUAGAGUGAAUAAUACCUUAAAAACACACAAGUGUACUAAACAAGGCCUAACAGUUCUAUUUCCAGUUUUGCUGGUAGGUGCCCUACGGAUCCGAGGAGGCGAGGAUCGUAUCAUCGAUAAACUUUUAAAAUCGUCGGCCUCGUGUAGCUCAUCUGCCAUUCUUUAAUUGCACCUAUCCUGACAAAAAUCAACACCGCGGUUCCCGUCGUUGGCGUGUAAAGUCAAACGAAGCUGCGGAGAUUAGCACACUACCGAACUGGUUAGCGACUGGCGGAGUGGCAUGGCAGGGCGCGCACGGUGAGGCGGAGAGUCGCACUCGGGACAGUGACGGCCUCCUGCACCUUCUGUGCAGGUUGCGGACUUCGCUGGCUCUGCUGGGCCAGGUUUGGCCCUGCCGAAUCUUCACCUAGACUUCUUCUUCCGACAGCAGGCUUUGCCACUUGAGCUUGCGCUGAGCUUUGCCUACAUCCAUUACCGAUCGUGGUGAAUAGUUGCGCGGGGCUUCGUGCUGACGAGAGAUUACAGGAACAGACACUAGGGAGGCAUACAUCGCCGAAAUUAAAUGCGGUUGGUCCAGCAAGGAUAUAGAUGUUCCUCCUGGAAUCACCGUGUGUUUUAAUUCCGAGGUACGCAUGUGGGAUUGGCUAUCCUGAUCUUUCCACAGGAUGGUUCAACUAUUGCACGAACGAGACGCGUGCUGAUUGCAGAUUUGGCACUCAUCACGCACUAACCACAAUUAUUGCUUUUGCCGGUGUAGCUAUACGCACGAGGGGCCUAGAUGUACAUGCCGCACGUACGGUGGUAGGCCGAUGGAUCAUCGAUGGACACUGUUCAUCCUUGGGUCCAUGAGGCCAGGACCCGUGCGGCGCGGCGACUGCUCGAGAAGGAACGGGCCACAAGCCUUUGCAAGGAGCAAAAUCCGAAAACACUAACUCUUUAACCGGCUCUUGUUUAAAAUACUGGAGGAAAAAAAUUGAAGAGAGAACGGAACUGGCUUUUCGUGAAGGACUAAAAGUUAGCUAAGAGUUAACUAAAAGUCCACCGUUUAACCGUUGUACCACGUUGCAUUUUAACCUAACAAAUUAUUUAGGAUUACUUUAAAGACACAAGUCAUUGCACAUGUUAUCUGACCGUAGAGUCUAGAUGACAUGGAGUACUACGGAUGCCCUAAAAGAUGUGUUGUGGGGUAACUUUUGUUUAGGAAAAGUUAUCAUGACAACUUUGUUGAUAGUUAAAAACAAUUUGAUCAUUCACUAUUAUCAAGAAAAAUACUUACGUACUCCAUAGUUCACAAGAAAGGAACCGGUAAAAUUCGAAGAAUCCACGUGCCACAUUACUAGUUGGGACCCACCGUAUGGCCAGCUAAGGUAUGAUCGACAAUUUUACUUUUCCUAAGACAGAUAAAAAAUGAUGUGACUAAAACCACGAGAUAAGAAAUACUCCCUCCAUUCCUUAAAAAUUGACAUAUUAGUUUUCAUUAAGACAAGACUUUGAUCACAAAUUACUAUGUUAAAGUGUUGUUUAUAUGACAUGAAACCACAAGUAUUAUGAAGUACUUUUGAUAACGAAUCUAGCGAUACUAAUUUCAUGUCAUAUAAACCACACCUUGACAUAGUAAUUUGUGGUCAAAACCUUGUCUUAAUGAAAGCUAAUAUGAAGGAACGGAGGGAGUAGCAUUGUUCAUAGAUAGCCACUGUCAAACCGAUUGAAUUGCCACUAGUCUGGGGCGAGAAGAACCAAAUCUCAGCGACUAGACUUUGAAAAAACAAUAUUUCCGAAGACCUAUUGGUUGUUUAUUUUAGUAGCAAGACUUUAUGAUUUUUGUCAGAUCAUUAUUUAGUCUAUUGUGUUUUAAGAGGAGAAUUUGGUUCUUCUGACACGCGACUGUGUUAAAUGACUGCGACACUUUCCGAAGAAGAUGGUUAGAUUUUUUUUCUUGAGAGGAAGAAGAUGGUUAGAUGGGCCUCACAGGCGAAUUAUCACAGUCUCCAGCAAGCCCAUUUAAAGUUUUGAGGUCUAACAGAAAGAAAAAAACAAUUUCGAGUCCAUUUAUCCUUGAAGAAAAUUUUAAGCCCGUUUUGCCCGGCCCAUCGGAAACAAAUAACAUCAUUCUCCACGAACCACGGUCGAGCACCACUUCUGAUAUGCUCUCAAUUAUAGAUGUCCAUCAGGCCGGGCCGGCCCGGCACCGUCCCAUCUAAGGUUAAAUGGGCCCGGCCCGAUGAAGCCCGAUUUUAAACGUGUCAGGCCGGGCCAGCCCGAAAUCUCCUGCUCCAGGCCUAGGCGCGGCACUGAACCCGGCCGGACUAGCCCGGGCCCAUUAAGGCCCGGCGGGGUCAGCAAGGCUUUGUAAGCCCCCUCAGCCAAAUGUAAAAAUAAAUAAAAAGACAUGGAUUUGGGCCAAAACCGAAGAGUUGAUGAGUAGUUGAUAUGAUGGGACCAAUGUAAAAUUAAGUUGGGUUGGAGCAGUUCCCCGUAAAAAAAAGUUGGGUUGGGCCAGAUUUUUUAGAGUUGACGGGUCAUAUGUAAAAAAAAUAUUAAACGGGCCGGGCCUGAGGAAGGCUGGCCCGGCCCGAUUAAUUUUGUGCUGGCCGGGCGCAAACGGCCCAAGCCCGGUGGGCUUUCGGGCUUUUUGCAAUGGCCCGGUCUGAUGGCCAUGUAUACUCUCAAUCCCUCUCCCCCCUCUCUCGAAAAAAAACCCCUCUCUCCCCUGCCUCUCCAAGAGAUAACACAGGACAGGAAAGCAGGCGCAGGUACUCGCGGUCCGCCUUCUUCGAAUCCAUCUGCCUUCCCUGAGCUAGCGGGUUUCUCGGUGGAGAUUGCGCCCGCAAGAUGCAGUAGGGGUUGCAAUCCCACUGGCCGACCAGGGGUCAUGGCGGCGCCGCCAAGCGCGAGCAUGGGUCUGCUCAAUUUGGGCGGGUGCGGAGUUUUGCUCCCUUCCUUGCAGCCUAGUUCAGUCCCACACGGGUUUUUGGUCCUUAGAAGGGACAUCCCAGUGUUGCCUUUGAACUGGGGUUUGGUGAGAAGAGGUAGGGUUCUCGAUGCUGGUUUCGGGGCUGCGAGUGCGCUGGCUGGCGAGGCUGGUACCGGUUCAUCGGAGUUGCGGCACAUCGAGAAGGAGCUGACGUUUAGCCCGACAUUCACCGACUAUGUGAAGAUGAUGGAGUCGGUGAAGUUGGACAGGAGCAAGAGUUCCCAAGGAGGUGAUUCGGACGGCCGGAGCUCUAGGAGGAGGUUCGUGGGUGAUGGUGAUGCAUCAGUUGGUCGGCGAGUGGAUAGGGAGUUGGGUGAUCCAAGGAAUCAAUCAUUUGAGAGAAAAAGAGGGGCUCAUAGGGACAGAGGGAGUGAGAGAGGUAGGGAAGAGAGAUCGGCGAACAAUGAUAUUGCAAAGAAUUUUACUGGAUUGGUGGAGAGAAGAAUGUCGACUGAUGCUGAAAAUAGCAGUUAUAGACAGGGAAAGGUUGAAGAAUAUGUACAGAGAAGAAUAGUUAGAGGCGAGCGGAGCAAAACUGGAGAUAGCACGGAUAACAAUGGCCGCAGGCAAUUUGCAUCAUAUGUGAAGACUAAAGAUAAUAGAGAUAGCAUGGUUGAAUCAGCAGGGAACAGGCAUGCCCAUUCAAAUGCACGGAAGGAUUUACAAGAACGGGCAACUUCUAUUGUAAGUCGUACUUCUGUCACUCGGGAUAGCAACAUUUUAUUGGAGAACCCAAAGUCCACAUUAAAUGAGGGAAAAGGAGAUUUUACCAACAGAAGAAUUAAAAAUAUACACGAACAGGACUUCAAAUAUCCUAGAGAGAGAAAAAUUUCCAGUAGCAAGGUCAAUUCUGACAGUAAGUUUCAAAGAUACCAGCAUAAAGUAGAAAGUGCAGGAAGAAAUCUUGUAGUUGGUAGGUUUAGAGGUAGUGACACGGGAUAUAGCAAACCUACUGUAAGCAUGCAAACAGUGUCUGAGAAUUAUGGUCAUCCAAGAUAUGGUUUGGAGCAUGGAAAACCUGAAACAAUUCGAACACAGAAAGGGGAAAAUGUUCAGUUGGGGAAGUUUGUUAGGAGAGAUUCAGAAGCCGUAAUUGAUGACAGGGCUGCUUUCAAGACUUUUGAGGUAUUCACUGAUGUGAGGAACAGACCACGGGUUCUUCAAAUGGAAAUAGAAGAGAGAAUUCAGAAAUUAGCUAGCCAGUAAGUCUUCAUAUGCUCCCUCCGUCCCAUAAUUCUUGUCGAAAUAUUACAUGUAUCUAGACGCUUUUUAGGAAUAGAUACUUCCAUUUUGGGGCAAAUUUGGGACAAGAAUUAUGGGACGGAGGGAGUAAUUGAUUUCAUUCUAAUGCUUGAAUUAUCUGAGUGUUCUGCUGUACAAGUUGAACAUAGCAGCCUCUUCUAAUUUGGAAACAUAUGGCCCAUGAUCGCAGGUUAUAUUUACUCAGUAACAUAAUCAUCACUUCCUUUGCUAUUCUCAUUUUUUACUUAAAUUGUAUGUAUCAGAUUAAACUAUUGCAUUGCCUUCAAUUUGGCGAACUGCUUUAGACAGCUUUUUAUUAUUACCGGUUGUGCAAUUUACCAUCAUUAUUCACAUCACAUAUAUCAUAACUCUGACUUACUCAGUGCAUUUCCCGUAAUCCUCAUCAGAUAUGCGAUAAAUAAUUCUAAUUAUGAUACUAAGCUUCUAACAAGAUCACUGCUCAAAUGUAUUCUUUCAGCAUUUAUUGGUUGGUCACAGCUUAUAAAGAAGGCAUAUGUACGCUUUAAUCCUUACCAGAGUAUCCCCUCCUAAAAAAAUAUUACCAAGCUUCUUUUUAUGUCAGGAUGCCUAGAUGCAAACUGUUAUUUGCAGUUUUUUAGAGAAUUAUUUUAUACAUUUAUGCAGAUAGUUUUUUUGGAAGUUCAUUAGGGAUUGUAUUGGAGCAAUGGAACCUUUUAGCUGAUCUGAUUAAGAUAGCACUUUUUUUUUAUCUGUUUCUUCCCACAUAGCCGAUCAAGAUUAAUCAUGUGGAGUCGCCAUUGUCGUAUUUGAUUCCUUAUAACUAUUUAUUUUUUUGAAGGCUCAAUGCUACAGAUGUAAAUACUCCGGAGUGGAAAUUCUCUAAGAUGAUUCAUGAUGCACAAAUCAAAUUCACUGAUCACUCUAUACUAAGAAUUGUUCAAAUAUUGGGUCGAUAUGGAAACUGGAAACGUGUUCUGCAAGUUGUUGAGUGGCUUCAAUCACGUGAAAGAUUCAAGUCUUACAAGAGCAGGUAAAGUAGUUGCCAACUUAUAUACUUCUAUCUUUAUCAAUCUUAAAUGUUAUGAUGUAUAUGGCACCAGUGUAUUGUGUAAUGUGUUGUUACCGGUAUGAAUAAUUUUAUUGAUGUAUUUGUCUUUGCUUAAAGUAGUUUCUUUGAUUAAUUUUCUUGGUUACCUCCCUGUGACUUAAUUAAAUGGGUAUAAUGUUUAGUAUAUGAAGUUUAUAUGUCAUUCAUGAGAAGUAUCUUCUGAUGUAGGUAUAUUUAUACAACAGUGCUCGAUGUUCUUGGGAAGGCGAAGAAACCUUUUGAGGCAUUGAAUGUAUUUUACACCAUGCUGGUAUAACUACUAAUUGUUGUCAUAUCUUCAUUUUACAGUCAUCUAUAUUAAUCAGCCCUUAUUUAGAUGCUAUCCGGGUAUUCAUUUGUAGGACCAAAUGUCUUCUUAUCCUGACAUCGCAGCUUAUCAUUGUAUUGCUGUGACUCUUGGGCAAGCUGGUCUUGUGAAAGAACUAUUUGAUGUGAUUGAUUGCAUGCGUUCUCCUCCUAGGAAGAAGUUUAUGGCGGGCCCUGUUCAGAAUUGGGAUCCUCGGUUGGAGCCAGACCUCAUUGUAUACAAUGCGGUGAGUUUAUUUGUAGCAAAUGUGAUGCCAUUGGAACCAAUGCACCAUGAACCAGGUAUGUUGUUUAACGGUCAUCUGUUAUUCAGUAGAACGUAACUGCUUCUACUGCUAUGUAGGUUUUAAAUGCUUGUGUGCAACAAAAGCAAUGGGAAGGAACAUUCUGGGUACUGCAACAGUUGAAAGAGAAGAAUAUUCGCCCAACAAAUACAACAUAUGGUCUUGUGAUGGAGGUAUGCUAACUGUGAUACAAAUACAAGUAUAACAUGACCCAUAUUCUCUGUUCUCUCUCACCCAACUAUGCUGGGUUUGAAGGGGCUUCUGUAAAUCUCUUUAGAUCUUCUGGAGGAUAACUAAGCACUCCUCAUUGUACGUGAAAGUUGGCGAGAUCCUUUUUUCGUGAUGUUUUUGUUGUCUUCUUUCCUAAGAGCAGCUGAUUAUACAUAUUGUUCUGUGCCAUAUGUUUCCACUUAUAAUUUGGGCACGAUCUUUUGGUCUAGUUUAAUUACGUGAUAAUGCAGGUAAUGCUUGUUUGUGGCAAGUAUAACUUGGUGUAUGAGUUCUUCGACAGGGUGAAGCAAAAAUCAAUUCCUGGUGCUUUGAACUAUAAAGGUAUUAACUUGAACUUGAAUACAGUAGUAGGUAAAAAGUUCAUGUCUCAGACCUGAUGCUGGCUGCAGUUCUCGUAAAUGCACUUUGGAGAGAAGGAAAGAUUGAUGAAGCAGUGAUGGCCGUGAAGGAUAUGGAAAAACGUGGAAUUGUUGGUUCUGCAAGUCUCUAUUAUGACCUUGCUCGGUGCCUUUGCAGUGGAGGGCGUUGCAAAGAAGCACUUCUCCAGGUUUGGUACAAAAGUGCAGUUUAUAUGUAAUCACUUGCCAUAGCUGACAAUAGUGAAAUUUCCUUGGCUAGCUAUUUUCAUCUUUUUCAUCUUGAUUUCUCACAAUUGUUGAUUAUGUUAAAGAAUAAAUGUGUCGAAGAUAAGCUUAUGCUGGGCACACUGCUGGCUAAGUACUUCAACGGCACACUAAGUUAUAAAUCAAUAUAAUUUAUAUAUUCUGCUGAUUCAACUGAUUUAUCAUGCUUUUACAUACUCUAUUUGCUGUCAUGGCCUUGGGCAGAGUUAAGGUUACACUUGAUUAUGCACUGGACGGAAGAUAUAUGGAUUCAGAGAUUUCGUAUUUAAGCAAGACAAGACCAGAUUGGAUAAACCAUACUUUGGUUGAAGUAGGCACUGUGUCUUGUGACAUAGGAGUAGUUAUAUUUAGAUAUGUGAUUGCAUACUCUAUUUGCUGUCAUGGCCUUGGGCAGAGUUAAGGUUGCGCUUGAUUAUGCACUUGAUGGAAGAUAUAUGAAUUCAGAGAUUUCAUACUUAAGCAAGACAAGACCAGAUUGCAUUAACCAUACUUUGGUUGAAGUAAGCACUGUGUCUUGUGACAUAGGAGUAGCUAAACAAGGCUCCAACUCUCUACCUAUCACUGCAAAUCUUUUUAUUUGAGAAAAGUUUCAACAAGCUAACCAAGGCUCUUUACGAAACAAGUGGAUGCAUGAUAACAUUUGAACUUGCCAUAAAAACCCAGAAGAGUUUGACAUUCAACUAAUUUGGGCUAACGCUCGACUAGUGACUACAAUUACUAUUAAUAACCCCACUGUCUGUCUAUGCACUAUUUGUGUAAUGUCCUCGGACUGCUUCUUUCUCUCUCUCUCUAAAUUUAUCUGAUAGCAUUUGUAUUCCAGGUUGAGAAGAUAUGCAAGGUUGCAAACAAACCCCUGGUUGUUACCUACACAGGACUUAUUCAAAUUUGCAUAGACAGUGGAAGUAUGGAAAAUGCUAAAUAUAUAUUCAACGAAAUGUGCAGCUACUGCUCACCUAAUAAUGUGACUUGUAACAUCAUGCUGAAGUCAUACAUUGAACAUGGAAUGUUUGAAGAUGCAAAAGAUCUACUGGAGAAUAUUCUAAAUGGCAGGAUAGGGAGCAAACUGGAUUCUAGUCAAACAGCAGAAGCUGACAAGUUUACUUUCAAUACUUUCCUGGAGGCUUGUGCUGAAGCAAAGAAGUGGAAUGACUUUGAGGAUGCAUUUCGCAAAAUGUUAUCUAAUGGCUACCACUUUGAUGAACGAAGGCACCUCCGUAUGGUACUUGAUGCCUAUAGGAAUGGGAAGGUACUUAUCCCAUAUGCUCAAGGUUUUGAUUAUUUAUGAAUGUAGUCUAACUUAUAAAGCUAGAAUAUCCAUUGCAUAUAAUUAUUCAGGUCUAAACCUGAAGUUUUUUGGUUGACCCUACAGUAAUAAUGCAUGUCGUAUCUUUCAUGGAGUUAGGAGAAUGUUGGCUUACCCUGGCCUGACUAGAAAGUGUCCAUAGUCUUGAAAAGUAAAUUUGAAGUAAAACAGCAGCAUGAUAAGCUAGCCCCAGUUCGAUAUGAAUUUGAGCCAUUUCCCAUCUCUCCACAUGCGUUCCUGCUGGUGCUCGCGGGACUUUAUUUAGAAUUAAAAUUACAUUUACAUUAACAAUGACCACAGGCAAUUUUUAACAACAUCCUUUCCGCGUUGAUCAGCUUCAUUAAUUCAUCUUCUGUGUGUAUUCUCACCCUAGCUGUAUGUUACCCAUCAUUAUUCAGGAACAGCUUCUGGAAAAUAUAUGGGACUACCUGUGUCACCAUGGCCGGGUUCCACCUGUCCCUAUGAUAAUGGAAAGAUUUUGCUUAAAAUUGAGACAAGGUGACACAACGACAGCACUCUCCUGCAUCAGCAGCUUCCAGGAGAGCAAGAUACGCAGGGUUUCCUCCAUGUCAUGGUUCAAUCUGCUGAACCGUAAUGCGGAUCGCCUGAAGGAGGAAAGCAUCGCCAAGCUUGUCCACGAACUCAACAACUACGCAAGCUCAGGGAGUACCUGUGAUUCGUUGUACCAAAACAUUCUGAGCAGUUGUACAGAAUUCCUUUCUGGUGGAAAAGCGCCUUCUGAUGCACAGAUGCCUUUAUGUAAUCCUUAACCACUAUGUUGGCCUAUUGCCAUGUAAGUUCGGUUCAGUGGGAACCACUGGUUGACUUCAUGCUCUUUUCCAAGGAACUGCUAGUGGAAGCAGGAAGCUGAAGGCUAACUUGAUUACAGUACAGGAGUAGUAGCACUAGCAUCUGGUUGGUUAGCUGUUGACUUUUUGUUGCGGUUGGAUAUUGGCAGAAGCAGCAUUUGACAGCAUCUCGUUGGUUCCUACCCUUAAUAGGGAUUCAUCAGUAUAACAGUGACAGUCUCAACAGCUGGUAUCCCUAGAUUUAGGAUACAUGGAUGAUAGAUACAUGAUAGCUACAUGUUUGAAAAUGUCUGGACCAAUCACACAUAUCUCCAAGUCUGUCCAGUUAUCAGUCACCCUGGAGCCAGUGAAUUUACGGAGUUCGAAACUUUGCUUGGUUGUCUGACACCGGAACGGGUCCAAAACAGCUCUUAUCCCAAAGGCUCCAUCUGGAGAAAUUUGUGCCCCUGCAGAAAGAGUUUACCUCUGUUUCUACGCUGGCUUCUAUCGACACCACGCACCAAUCGCUCGUCGCGGUCACUUGUGGCGGAUUCAGAAAUAAAAUUACUUCGUAUGUGGAUUAUUGUGUUGAAAACUUGUGUAGUUUCAUAUACUCCUUCCAUCCCAAAUUAAGUGACUCAAAUUUAUCCAAAUUUUAUCUAAAAAGCGUCUACAUACAUGUAAUAUUUCGAUACUUAAUAUGGGACGGAGGAAGUAUAUUUUUACAAAUAUUAAACCCCCUAACUUCAACGUGGAUCCGCCACGAUCAAGGGAUUGGUGCUCUAAAAGUACAACCCACGUAGGAGACGUCCAUGUUGUGGCGGGAGGAGCAACAUGGUUCACCAGAGCCAUAGAACAAGUCAAAAUAAGGAUACAAAAUGUCAAAUUGAUUUUAUUUUUUUAGUUUGUACUCCCUCCGUCUUGUAUUAUGUGCCGAAAUAUUACAUGUAUCUAAACGUUUUUUAGGUAGGUACAUCAUAUGUGACGGAGGGAGUACAUGAUUUUGUCAUUCGCUGGCUUGUAUGUUUCUAGAAGAAACAUAUUAUUUUGGGAAAGGCUGGACGAAUAAUAUUGUUUUUUUAAUUUACUAAUGUCAGCAAGUGGCCCAAACCGCUGCAAAGAAAAACUUGCCAAAACCUAUAUGGAAAAUUUCUAGCUUCAGAAUAAAGCAUUGAAAAUUUGCACCGAGCACAAGUUAACCAUUGUCGUCAGUUGACCGUGAAGUGGCUAUUGAGAUUUGAAAAGACUAUUUUGCCCUUGGUCUAAUAUGGUGAUUUUUCCUUUUAGGGUUAAUUUCAUUUGAGAAUUUUAGCAAACAACAAACAAUUCUAUAAUGAAAUAUCACUAAAAAUAGCAAAAUAAUAAUAAUAUAUUUUAGCAUGAAAAGACACAAAAUUUCAACAACAUAACCCCUUAUUUAGCUUAAAUAUCACAAUUUUCAUGACAAAUUUUGGCAAUAUAUACUCAAACUAAUCAUAGUAUAGCAAAUAGCAGAACAAUCAUAUAUGCUCAUAACAUCCCACAUAUAUAUAAAAAAGAAAACAUCACAUUACCUGAGCGGCUGGGCCGGCUGGCCACCGGGAACUGCGCGACAGGCUGCCACUACACUUUCCUAAGUGCUGCCAAGGAGGGUCACCAACACCACGCCCUAGGAGGAUGGAGAAGGGGAUGGGGUGUCACCGUACCGGUUUAGGGAAAGAGGAGUGAGCUGCGAAGGGUGUCGAGCAUGUGGACUCUUAUUUACUUUUUCAAUCAAUUACUCCUAAAGAUAUACCCCUUCAAAUGCAUAAUAAGUGUUUUGAAUUUAGUACAAAAUUGGUACAACUAAUGUCGGUAGUUAAUUUAUAUCCACUGAAAAUGAUUUUUUAGAUAAUGAAAUCUUUAUUACCUCCGGUCUCUGCAUUCAGAAUGCAUACAGCCUAAAGUCAUAUAUUGUUUUUAACAAUUGAAAACAUAUGACCACAUCCACAAAUGUGACAGGCCACAUGAGGAACCAAUCUAGAAACUAAGAAGUUUAGAUCUAGCACGCCACUCAAACCAGGACAUAAACUCCUUGAUCCAUUGUACUCGUUUGGAGCAAGACUCCAUCGGUUCCUUGUGCUGCAUCUUCUGUAUCAACGCUCAUAAUCACAGCCAGUUGAUACAUAAUAGCAACACCUGCAUGGUCGAAAAUGAUAGUGGUAGAUUUAAAAAUCAAACAUAUAAAUUGUACUCGUACUGUAUUUGAUCAUGUUACAAUAAUUCCGUCUUAUCUCUAAAACUUCGCCAUUUCAUGACAUGCAAUCUGGACAGAAGAUGGGGCGAGGAGGACAGGGGCAGCAGCCUGGAGAAUGGUGCGCACGACUAGCGGCAACGCCACACAACGUGGGAGAGUCUACCUUUCCAAACAACAGAAAAGGAUCAGAAUAGAUAAACGAUUAAACUUAAGCUGGGAAAGAAAAACAAAUAGGGGAAACAACGAGGAUACGGGCGGACAUCUGAAAAAUCAUUGCAACAAUUUUUUUUUCUGCCCCUUCCUUUGCGCGUCCCACCUGUCCCGGCGGGGCCCACCGCACGUCUCCUCUCCUCCUCCUUCCCUCAGCCAUUCUCGCCCUGGCAGGCUCGCGCGCCGUCUCCUCCGCUUGCCGCCGGCCACCGCCUCCGCCCCUGCCCCAUUGAUCCGCGCGCGGGAGGGGAGGGAGCCUCCGACCCGCGAACGCCGGCCACGGGUAUGAAUCGUUCCACCACAUUGCCUUCGUCUCAGAUGGGCUGGCUUCCUCUGAAUUUGUUUUUUUAGCAUUUUGUUUCUGUUAACACCUUUGCGAUUCUCGACCUGGUUUAGGUAUUGAUUGUCCCUUUUGGAGAGAAAAAGAGUCCUGCUUGCAAUCGCAUUUGGCGUCGCUGAGAGGCCUGAUUGCAAUUGGUAAGGGGAGGAUUAUAAAAUGUCAAUGGGGGCAUAUUUUAGUGGCAUCUGUGAUGAUGAGCACGAAAGUGUUUUUUUUCAAUUAAUAAUGUUUUCGGAUUUUAAAAAUGGCAAGCGCCGAAUCCGUCGCCGGCGACGACGAGGCUGCGGAGCUGUUGUCCUGGCCCUCGACAACGACCUCCCUAUCCGAUUCUUUAUUCCGAACUUGGUACCCCAGCGUGGAAUUGUCUUCCAGAUGGCCGUGGAAUUCUUCCACCUUCGUUCCUUCCUUUUUUUUUUCUUUAUAGAAAACGCAAUCUUAGACAUGGGGAGAUUAGGUGGAAGAACGCACCGUGAAAAUUUCUUUUUCUUUAUUUUUUCCUAGCUCUGUUGUCGUUGUUGAUUUCUCCAACUACUACUUGUUCCUCCAAGAACGGACGACCGCUGUUUCCUUCUCCAUCUGUCCUCCUCCUCUCUCCGUUCCCCAAUACCACGCUCUUCUCCGUCGAUUCAGUUGCUCGAUUCGAAUCGCGUAUGGCGUAAGCGAAAUCGGCAGAGGCGAAUCAUCAGGCAAAAAGCUAAAGCUGCUCCUUUGCUUUUUGGCGAUGCAAGCCUCGUCUGCUCCUCCACGCUUUCUGAGCUGUUUUUCUGUCUUUCUUGCAUGCAGCAGGGGAAGCGUCCUGAGGCUGCUGCCGUGCCAACAAAGGUAGGCGCAACAGAAAUGGGUGUUCCUUGCGCGUGACCAUGCAUUCCAGGCUGCUCAAGAGGCUCGCCAAGAGGAUCAUGUGAGCAGUCGUGCGCCCGUCGAAAUGUGGGAGAUGGAUGCGUUGGGCUACUGCGUGCUCGUCGUGCUGGCACUCCAUUGUGUCGUCGGUGGCUGCUCGGCAAUCAACCUUGAAGGUAGCGGCAGGCAGCCUGCCGGUGUUGCUGCCGAUGUUUUGCUUUUCGUGGUUGAGCACAGCUCGCGGGGUUCUGGUGUUGUUGAUGGAUUGGAGCUUUUCUCUUGUUGUUGGUGAUGCAGGCUCGGUGCUGCUCAAGUUCAGUUCGAGGGUCGAGGAGGAUCCACUUGGCGCCAUGGCAGGUUGGAGCCUGCAGGAUGGCGAUCCUUGCAGUUGGAACGGCGUCCGCUGCGCGGAUGGCAGGGUUGUGAUGCUGUGAGUCGGAAUGUUGGUUGUUGUCUUUUUUUUUUGUAUGGUUCUAUUUGGGAAAUGGAACGUUGUUCAUCAAUUCUCUGAUGAACCACUAUCAGAAAAAUCAGCAUUUAGUUCUUCUGUUUAACGGGUCUUCCAUCUGACCGCAUCUUUCCGUGUUCAAGAGUAGUUAAAGUAUUGAUUUAUUGUUAAAUGGAUGUUGCAUCGGCAACUGUCUUUUAUAUUCCUUGUUUUCUCCUUCACAGUUAUCGUGGUUUGACUUAUACGAAAUGAAUGUGUAUUGUGUCUAUUGAGUUUCUGCUGACACAAGCAUCUCUCCGCUUGGUAUAAUUUACAAAAGAUAGGCUAAAGGGUAGGGGCUCGACGAUCAACGCACUGGAACUUUUGUCAUAAAAUUUCAUGCAACCAGCCCAUGAAUGCGCUAUUUUGCUAGUAAUUAAUAAACAUAGUAUACAGUUUCUUUGUUGAUUUGAGCACUUCAGGAAUCUCCUUUUUCUUGCAUUCUUUGAAUUUACAAUGUAUAAAUUGUUCACGAUUUCCCAGAAAAAUAUGUUCUUUGGGAGCUAGAGGCAUGCGCACAAUCGUAUUAUAUGUUUUAUCAUAAUUUUAAAUCACAUUAUUUGCCUUAUUAGAAUGGUUUCUUGAUGACCAACAAAAACAAGUUUUUUUUUCGAAAAAACACAAACAAGUGGCUACAGCUAGGUUAAUUCAAACAAGUUUUGUUAUGUUUGGUUUCUUCUACUGGUGAUAUUAUUCUGUGUUGGGGAUUAUUGACUUAAAGUGAGACAACUGGCAAUAACAUGUUUGGCAUAGUUUUGCUCAAGUGAAUUACUGUUAACUGAAUGUUAUAAUCUGCUAUAUUAUAGAGUAUGUUGGCUUGAUUUAUCAUAAUAAGAAUUCUGAACAAUUUGUUUGCAGGAACCUGAAGGAUCUCUCAUUAAGAGGAACUCUGGGUCCAGAAUUAGGAAGUCUUAGUCAUUUGACAGCUCUGUAAGUAUACAUUUUCAGAUUUACGCCUUGCAAGAAUAUAAAUUGGCAUUGCAUGGACAACAUUAUAUGGUAUUUUGAUACAUGCUCUAUAUUCAACAUAUUAAAGAGAACAUAGUUUGCCUGGCAGGCAACAAUAUCUGAGCAAAGUCAGUUUAAAAAAAUGAGUCAACCACCAUCAGUUAGGACAUUUAAAGUUUAUAUAUCUAACCAACCGGUGAUUACUGAGUUACAUCCUUCAUAGUUACAAUGGUAUGUGCAUAUCAGUCAAACAAAUAUGAGACAAAAAAUCUCAUACGAAGUGUUGGUUUUACACAGUAGCAUGAAAAUUUGGUCCAUCAGUUAAUCAAGGACUUGUUGCUUAAGUAACUGCUUUUGGAAACUUUGAUCAUGUAAUUUUACUUCUGCAUGCGAUUUGAAUAUUUGGUACAGCCAUUUUAAUGUUUUGGAUGUUGCUGUCCACUUCCAGUGUAUUAUCCAACAACAUGUUCAGUGGACCGAUACCUAAGGAGAUUGGCGGUCUUGCAAUGCUGGAGAUUCUUGAUUUAAGCAAUAACAACUUGACUGGGGAAGUUCCACAGGAGAUAGCAGAAAUGCCAUCACUUAAGCAUUUGUAGGUCGUCUGACUGAUUAACUCUGAAUUUUUUACCAACAAGUGAAAUGUCAUGAUACGAUGUCUCUUAUUUGGCAGAUUGCUUUCCAACAAUAGAUUUCAAUGGCCUAUGAUCCAAAAUCCAUAUGGAAACUUUGAUCAGGAAACUGAUUUUGACAUCUAUGAUCAUUCCGGGAGGGGUAAUAUGAAUCAGAGAGCUGAUGAUGGGUAAGAAAACUCAGGAUUUUCUCAUUAAUUCUCCUACAGUUAUCAUUGGAUAUUUUCUAUAACUUAAUUUAGAAAAGGAUUUAUCAGCAGAUGCUGAUGAUAGCAGUUUUUAAAUGUGGACCUUUGUAGGUUCGGGUCUGGUUCUUCAACAGAAGAGAACAAAAAAGACACAAGCAAUCUCUCUGGUAUCUAGCCUACUGUUAUCCAAGUUCAGUUUGUGCCUAAAUAAUCAGCUAGAAACCUAAUAUGCCUUCUUCUUUUUCCCAGCUCGUCUUCCUUCGCAAUUUGCAGCAAGAAACCCAGCUGCUCAGCUUAGCCGGCGCAAACUACUUCAGGAUAGCAAUCUUGCUGCUGCGCCUUCUUCUGCAAAUGCUCCUGUUCCAGCUGCUGUUCCUGUUCCUUCUACUGGAAGUGGCUCAUUUUCAGCAUUUAUUCCCAACAAUGCACCUCCACCAGCUGUGAAAACUCCAAUUAGUCCACCCAUUCACUCUGACACUCCUUCAGAAGCAGUGUCAAAACCAAGAUCUAAAAAGUGGUUGUAUGCAAUUGUGAUUCCAUUGAUUGCUCUAUUGAUUAUUGGCAUCACAUGCAUGCUUUGUCUAUGCCGCAACAAGUCGGUAGCGACAAUAGGUCCAUGGAAAACUGGACUCAGUGGCCAGCUACAAAAGGCAUUUGUGACAGGUAAAUAUUUUGCUUGCUAUGUGAAUAAUGUAAAUUUUGGUGCUUGGAUUUUAUAUCAUCAUCCAGUAAUUUGUGUUCCUUAUGUUGAAAUAAUUUCUCCCCUGCUCCAAAAUUGUCAAUUACCUGGUUGGUUUGCCUGUUACUUAGAAUCUGUUAUAAGUUUUCUGUCCUACUGUACUGCAGGAGUACCCAAGUUGCAACGGUCAGAGCUGGAAGGCGCUUGUGAGGACUUCAGUAACAUCGUGGCAAGCUACCCACACUACACUGUCUACAAGGGAACCUUAUCAAGUGGCGUAGAGAUAGCAGUUGUAUCGACUGUUCUUGCAUCCAGCAAAGAUUGGUCAAAGCAUUCCGAGGGGAUAUUCAGGAAAAAGGUAAUCCAAUGUUACUUUAUUAGAGGAAUAACUCACUCUGUUACUACAAUUUGCAAUGUGGAUCUUAAGCAAAUUCUUCUUUAACUUCUUUUUGGGAACACAUAGAUAGACUCGCUCUCACGAAUUAAUCAUAAGAACUUCAUCAACCUGCUUGGAUACUGUGAGGAGGAGGAGCCUUUCAUGAGGAUGAUGGUGUUAGAAUAUGCACCCAAUGGAACACUCUAUGAGCAUCUCCAUGGUAAAGCUGUAAUGCUAUUCUAUUUCAGUGUACUGUUUGAUCUUUGCAGUCAAAUUAAAAUGUUUUCUUUACUUUUUGCAGUUGAGGGAUUUGAUCAUAUCGAUUGGAAUGGUAGGAUGAGAGUAAUUAUGGGAGUAGCAUACUGUAUCCAACACAUGCAUGAGCUCAACCCUUCUAUAACACACCCUGGUCUACAGUCAAGUGCCAUAUUGUUAUCUGAGGAUGGAGCUGCAAAGGUAUAGUGCAUUUAUUUCUUUGAAUAUCUGAAGAUCAUGAAAGGAUGCACCAUAACUUAUUUAUUUGAAUAUCUGAAGAUCAUCAAAGGGUAUACCAUAUUUUCUGUCUUACCCAAAAUUUUAGUAAUAUGGAAAAAUGGAAUUAUAUUACAUGACUGAUACUUCAUCAUUCUAAACGCAUUUUCUGAACAUUAUACCUUAUAGAAUGAGAGGAAAAAUAUAAAAACGAGAGGAAAAAUAACAUAAAUCAAAUGUGCUCUGUCUGCCCCACAACAAUUAUAGAAUAUUGCCCAGUUCAUCUGUAUAACAUUUUUUUUCUCAACAACACACCAAGUCAUUUUUGAUGGAGUUCAUUUUAUCACACUGGAAUAAGAUCAGGCAUGAGGAUAUCAUAAUAUGCUUUUCCCUAAAACCGAGCCUUUUCACAGAUAGCAGACACGAGUGUUUGGCAAGAAGUAAUAUCCAAAGAAAAGAUGCCCAAGAAUGAUGAUGUCAGCGAGCACCAUGAGCCAAUGCCUGCUGACCCAGCUGGGAAUGUAAGCAGUUUUGGUCUACUCAUGUUGGAAAUCAUCUCAGGAAAGCCUCCAUAUUCUGAAGACAAAGGCUCUCUUGUGAACUUGGUAAUGACAACAAAGACAAAUGUGUACUCAAAUCAACUUGCAAAAUCCACAAAAUGACAUCUUGAAGUAUCAGUAUUUCACCUUUUUGUUUUGUUUCUCACAGGCUUUGGAGUGCAUAAAAGAUGACCGAAGUAUAUCUUGUUUGCUUGAUCCUACCUUGAAGGCUCACAAAGAAAACGAUCUAGAAAUCAUCUGUGAGCUGAUUCAGGAUUGCAUCCAAAGCGAUCCAAAAAGGAGACCAAGUAUGAGAGAGGUCGUCACUAAACUACGAGAAGUGCUAGCGAUUUCACCGGAGGCUGCAACGCCGAGAUUGUCUCCGCUUUGGUGGGCAGAGCUCGAGAUACUUUCAGUUGAAGCAACCUAGGAAGAAACAUGUCCAUAUGGUAUGGUUCUUGCAGCAACACUGAGGUUAUGUGUAUACUGUCUUGCAAACUUGUACAUCUUUGUUGUGAGUAUCUGCUUUUCUGGCGAUUUUCAGUGUCUGCCUGUGUUACCUUCUCCUCCUCCCGCAAAUUUAAAAUUUCCGGGUUGUUUUCUUAUUUCUUCUUGACUUUUCUCUCUAUACUGAACGUACAUGGUGUGGUUGUAGAAUGAUCCAGGUCUUCUUAGAGUUGAUUGUAAUCAGGAGAUGUGUGAUUGUGUAAUGUACCAUGGGGUUUUACGGAAAUAUUCUUUCAUUUUUUUUAAAGGGACAACAAUCAGUAUGGAGGGCGUUGAUAGCUUCUUAAAACGCUGUCCACCUUGUUACAAUGGCACUUUUGUCCUCAUUUUUUCCAGAUCGUCUUUCAACAUGAAAUCACGUAAUUCUUGCAAACACUCGCUUUAAUAUUGGAUCAUGUUUGUAUGUCAUUUCAACACAAUGAGUGCAAUCGCGAGGCAACAUUCUGACACAGGCGUGGCAUUGGCUGUUUGCUGGGCUCUCCUAACUUGUUUUGUGAACGGUAUGCCGUUAGCCUCUGUUUGAUUUGCUCCUGGUCAUGCUGCUCGGCCUCAAGCCCAAGUUCCCUGGUGUUGCUCAGUCUGUCAGUCAUCGCUUGACGUAAGCAAGAUCCGAUACAACAAGAUACAAACAGAGGCAGAACGUCUCAUUUACUCUUUUCGUAUUUGCUACGGUGCUUCUUCGAUCAUGUCACUGUGCUACAUUUUCUGAGAGGUAGCAGUACCUGUGAGAUAGGCAUUUUGCACGCAUGGGUACUACGGUGGGAGCUAUCGUGAAACUGUACUAAUCCCGCGCAAAUUAACAUGGAACGGAAUGAGUAGCAUUUUACACGGCUUGAACAGCUUUGGUAACUGCUGUUGCGCAGUGACCACCAAAAUCUAAAUAAUUCAGAGCACAAAUAACUAAGCACAUAGAAGCCCAGGAAAACCUCACCACGAAGAAGCCCUAGGCAAUUCGCAAGUGAAGUGUCAAAUGACUCAAUAUGAACUGGCACUGGCACUCGGAAAGGUUACACAUAGUAUCGAAUUGAUCCCACAGUAAUGAUCACCACAAAUAGUUUUACACAAAAUACAUAUUUCUUUCCUAAAAAAGGGAUCUUCAUUGAUUCUUAUCGCAUUACAUAGAGCAAGGUAGUACACAUCGAUAAUUUAUUCGCACAAGCAGUUUGGCCGACAAGUUCAGACACCAGAUCAGUGGGGUUCCACUGGAAGCGUUCCAAAGAGUUGAAGGUCCUACAGUGCCUUUAGGAUCUCCUCGGCACCAGAGACUGUGAAUUGACCACCCUCCUCAAUGUUUGCAACAGUGACCUUGAGGUCAUCAGCAAGAAGCGCAAACCGCCUCGAGCGGAGACCCAAUCCUUUCUCUGUAAGAUCAAGCUCAAGACCAAGCACAUUUGUGUAUUUUCCUGCUCCGUCAGCAAGGAAUUUGACAUGCUUGUUCUCAGGGUAUGUCUUCGCCCACGCCUUCAUGACAAAGGGGUCAUUGACUGCAAAAUCAUACUAGGAUAGUGAGUGAAUUCAGUGUUAUUCUGGCUUUGCUUAGGUCAAGACUAUAUGCGAAAAGGGGAUAUAGUGUGUCGAUCUAUCAUCUAUGUAUGAGGACAGAAGGUACCAUAAGAAAAGAAUAGGUGCCAGUGUCUCAGAGCAGAACUUGGUUAAACAUGUAUACUAAAGUGCUAAAAAACACAGGUUCUAGAUGUCUCUAUGCGGUAUUCUAGCCACAUUAAAACAAUGAUAUAUAGGUACACAGGGUCUGUCUGAUAAAAUUACUACUCUAUUAUAGCGCGCACUCGUAUUUCGAGAUUCAACUUUUACCAUCAAUCUGACCAAUAAAACGUGGGUUACGUGCCACAAAAUUAUUAACAUUGAUUUCGUAUCUGAAAAAAGUUUUCCAUGUUAUAAUUUUUUAUAGCCAAUAACUCAUAUUGAUUGUCUAAUUGGUAGCCAAGUUAAAUCUUGGAAUGUGUAUAAUAUGGCAUAACAAAUACCUGUCUAGUAAUCUUGCGAAAAAAUUAUCGUUCUAGUACAAGAUAUACUUGUGUGUUAAUGUAACUCAUUGAGCAGUCAAAAUCAGGCAUCUCUUAGGACUUGGCUGUUUUCUUUUCAAAAAACAUUCAAUAAUGCAGGCAUUCAAAAAACAUGAACUGAUCUUUCAAUGUUAAUUACAAUGGAGCUACCUUACCAUUAUGCAGAGAACACUGAAAGCUCAAAAUAUCCGAUAUGCAGUUUUCUGCCAAUAGCUACUUUCAGAACAUGAUGGGAAAGAUAAAUAAAUGCUGGAAGCAUACCGCUGACAAGCAGGAUCUCAUCUACACCCUUGGCUUUCAGCUGCUCAGCCUGACUAAUGAAACCUGGUACAUGCUGAUUGCUGCAUCCAAAGAAGAAAACACAGGGAGGACACAAUGUGACUAUGCUGGAGUUUCUUUCAGUAAUACGAAAACAGAAAUCUGCAAAUCGGAUACCAAAGAGCAACAGAAUCCCUUUUUCCCGGAAAAAAUAUUAACAAUGUCAUAUACAGACGACGUGGAGUUACCAACAUAGGGUGAUGAUGAGUGAAGAACCACUUGAAUAUCUCAAACUACUUCCAAAUUUACCAAAUUUCGAACAUCUCAAGUAAAAAAAUCUACUGAAGUACUGCUCGAGUAAGCUCUACUAGGUAUCGACUCAAGUUGACAGUUUAGAGCACCCGCCGUGAACAAGUUCUGCAAAACAGCAUUCCUGAAGUUCAGUCGGAUGCAUCCAGGUUUACAAAAUCUCUUUCACUGGUGAAAAUCAAUAACGCAACGCUGUCCAUUAAACGAAAUCCUCCAAAUAUCUUUCCUCAAAACAGUUUUUUUUUCACCUAUACUUCCACGAAAGUAAAUCAAGUCCGGAGGAAGAGGGGAUCCUGGCAAAAAGCAAUUCCAGAGACCCUAUCCACAAAUUUGCAGGGUCCAGGUCCGCGCUCCGCAACGACUACAUCUAAAUAAAACAUGGCGGAUCCUGUUGCAACCGCUCAGUUACGAACAGUCAAACGCUCACAUCGUUUUUCGUCGAUCUGUUGAAUACUCACAAUUUCAAAUCAAAGAAGAAAAAAGAACUGGGGGAAGGACCGAAGGACGAGACCUGCAGGUGGGGGUGAAGGCCCCAGGGACGCCGAAGAGGAUGACCUUCUUGCCGGCGGCUAGGGCGUGGAUGGAGACCUGCUGCAGCUGGUCGUUCUCAUCGAACCAAGCAAGCUGGCCGUCGGGGAGGGUGCUUCCAACGCCAAUCGGAGCCAUGGAUGGUCUUUGCUAUGGGUUGUUGGGACUUGGGAGGGGAUUGGAGAAGGGUCUAGAACUAUAGAACGGAAGGCAGUCAACAGGGGUGGGAAGGAAAGGCAAGCGAAUAAAUACGGAAUUUGCAAUUGAUUGUGGGUGGCCUUUUACUAUGUCGUCGCCUCGUCGGUUGUUGGGAGGAGAAGCAUCGGUUAUGUCACCAUGUGUGAACGCUAAAUUUUCGGAAUAUCCCUGGUCGUAAAUUCCAAAUUGGAUUAUUUAUCUGCGACGACACAAACUGAUUAUUUUUUUGUUCAGUCGGGUAGGAUAAUUGAUUCUUUUUAGUGAGUAGGAUAAUUAAUGUUUUUUUAGAGUGGAUAAUUGAUGUAUGCAGGGGAUUUAGGGUGGGCUUGAUUCAGGGGUUGGGCCACCGGCAGGGUUUAAAUGGCCCGAACCGAUUCUUCCAUGUGUUUGGUUCACGGCUUCGUUUAACCGACCUAAAAUCAGCCCAAAACAGCGGUCUUAUGCGCUUCACACGGGGUGCUCAUCUCUCCCGUCUCUCUCGCGGGACCUUCUCGCUCGCUGCCAUCACUCGUGUUGCCAUGAAGACGGCAGCCUCCUCCUCCUCCUCCUUCGAGACGCGGCGGGCCUGUGCUGGAGGGGCCAGGGGAGUAGGCGUCCAUGGCGAGUGACUCAGCCGAGGCGGAGGACAUGCCAGAGAGGCGGCGGGAGGGAAAGGGAGGCAUGGCGGCAGUAGGCUUGCGCUUGAGGGGCCAAGGGAGUAGGGCGUCGGGGCAGCGCUGGCGGCAGAUUGUUUUGAGGCGGAGGAUGCGCCGGAGACACAGCGGAGAGGGAAGGGGAAGGACGAUUGAGGCGGGGAACAAGCGAUAGAUUGACCUUCCCGACGACGAACGACGUCACGACGGGCGAGCGCGGGGGGGGGGGGGGGGGCAGUGAAAGGGAGGCCAUGGCGGAGGCCUUGAGCGCGAUGGCGAGCGGCGACGGGUUGAGAGAGAGAGAGGCCAUGGUGGCAGAAAGGGAAGGGAGCCACGAGGGAGAGGGGACGCAAGGAGGCAUCACGAGAGGAAGGUGAUGACGACCUCCUAACCAAACAUGAAACUAGUUGUCCCCACCUUUUUUAACUAAACAUGAAAAUUGUUGGCCCCUACGCUAAAAUCUGAUUAGGGCCAACCCUUCUUCUCCACUCACCAACCAAACACACGGUUUAAUGUGUCAUCAAUUAGACAAAGGCUCGUCCUCGAGCCACCUAGCUUCUCAGGUUGGACUGCUUCUGGUUUUGACUUCGAUGGGUGGUUCAAAGAUUUGAUAAAAUUGGUUGGACGUGAUGAUGUUCUUUUAUUCCUUUGUAGCUUUUGUUUUGCCUAUGUGGCUUCUUUGAUACCCAUAAUAUACAGGUAUCUCCCUUUCAAAUAAAUAAAUAAAAUAGAGGUAUAUAAUCCUUUCAAAAUAAACAAAUGAAAUACAGGUCUAUAGUCCCACGUAACAAACAAAUUUGUAAUUAAGAAUUGAAACCCGCCGUGAUGCCGUUAUUUUGUAAAAAGAAUUGAUACCUGUCAGUUGAUCGCAGGAUGCCGUUAUUUCGUCAAAGAAUGUAAAUUUGUAAUUUCUUAACUGAAAAGCACCUAAACACUUAUAUUUUCUGACUCGCUGGGCCGAGUAAAGACGCAAAAAAGAUGGAGCGAAGAAACGCAAAAGCGUCGACAGCAGGAUUCGAACCUGCGCAGGCAAAGCCCAACAGAUUUCGAGUCUGUCUCCUUAACCACUCGGACAUAUCGACUGUUUAUGCUCGCUGGGGCUGCACAAGUUAUUUAUUAGGAAUCCAUAGAUUGAAAUGUCUUGCUUUGAUCUUUUUCAAUCGUCAAAUGGUCUUGAUCAAGAACACGGGAAAUAGUAACAACUCCUUGAAUAACUUUCUUAACACACAGGUCCUGUAUGGUGCAGUGUUUUUGCACGGUCCGGCUGUUUGGCCGCCGUCAGAAGCGGGAGGAGCCGUCGGUCGGAGACGGAACCGGUUCUGGUGCCUGCAGAGGUCCGUCUUGGUCACGGUCUUCUCGUCGAUGAAGACGACGGGCAUGUCGCCGCAGAGGUUCAGUCGCGUGAGGAGAAGCUCGCGUAGCCAGUCCGGCAGCUCCCUGCAUGUGUCGGCUGGCUCAAUUCUGCCAGGACUCGGACCCGGAGCGGCGGCAGCCAGAGCAAGAGGGGCGGCGGCGUAUAUGGGCUCAACGUAAUCUAUAGCCUCGACCUGGUUAUCCGCCGGCAGCAGCGUCCGCCUCUUGGCCCGUUGCUCUGCGGCGUCACCGCGUCAGAGUCCGGCACGGACAGCGUGAGCUCGACCGCUUUGUGUUCUGCGCCGCCGCCGCCGCCGCCGCCACGGGAUUGCUCUUCUCGGCCUCCACCACGAGGCACACAUGGUAAUCGAACCGCCAGGCAUUCUCGAUCUGCACGCUUGCUGCGAAUCUCUCGGCUUUGGCGACAAGUCCAACUCGCGAUUGAGGGGCGUGUGAAAUACUAUGGGCAAUGCUAUGGGCAACCCUGAUCAGGACUAGCUCCGGGCCUCCGGCCGGUGGAAGCCUGGAGGCUGUCGUGCCUGCCAUGGGAAUCGAUUAAUUGGGGAAACCGAUGUGAAAUUAAAACUGGCCGCCGGACUCGAUGGCAUUUCUUGUCACGUCAGAACUGAUUGGUUAGAAAGCAUGCAUCCAGUCCGGCUCGUGCACGAGUUGCUGCCACCCUCAACGAUUGAGGGUUUUCCCCCGAAAAAUAAAUAAAUCCGGACAGGCGAUUCAACGCAUGUUGUCCAACAAUCAGAAUGGGGGUACGAGUUGUACUAUUACUCGACUUGUUGAUAAGGUAUUUGCGAGUAGACCGUUAGCGGUGUUUGUUUGAGACACGAUGAUUCAUGAUUGUUGUGCCUUUCCUAGAAUGCCCUUAAUUCUCUCUUCAAAACAUUCGUUUUCGUACAGAUUUCCUAGCCCCUAAUUCAAAAUCGAUGGUCCCAUCCCAUUUAAACGAAUGCAAGGUCAGAUUCUAGCAGAGGCAAAACAAAAAAAAAUUCUAGUAUAAAAAAGAUGUAAACUACAGUGUAGAAAGCCCCCUUAAAACUUGUUCACACCAUAUAAUUUCUUAAUGUCGGUUUUUUCUCCUUUUUGAAAAAAGGGGAAAAAAAUCUUAAUUAAAUAAAUUCAAAAUUGUCUGAAAUGAAUUCAUCGGAAAGAUACGUGCAAAAAAAAUGUGAGAAAGAUUUGUGCAUUUUGGUGGAUCCAUGUGUGCAGUGCAGGUGGUUCCUAUAAGUUUUGUGCCCAAUUGUUUUACUCCCUCCGUCCAAUCAAAGAUGUCUCAAGUUUGUCAAAAUUUGCAUGUAUAUAGACAUGACUUAGUGUAUAGAUGUGUUGUAGUAAAAUAAAACCUUUAUAUUGGUCGGGCCGUAAAUCCUACGUGACGGCGACUAAGUCAACUUUCCAGCGUGAGUCAAGAUGCUCACGUGGCGUAGUCAAUCCUACAUGAUAAAGGAAGACAAGUCAACAAUUCAAACCUCUAAUACGAUGGUCAAAGAGUGAAAUGAGCUAGAGUAAGGGGCAAGAAAAGUGUGAGGACCAACCAUCAUUUUCUCCCACAUGGUGCACACAAAAGUUAUGUACCAAAAAGAUACUUUUACCAUUUUGCCCUCACUUUUCUCUCUCUCUCAAGAGUAGCCAUGGUCUUUUGUCAUGGAUCCCUAGACUAUAAAUACCCCCCAUGAGGGCAUGUAUCAUUCACUCUCAACUUGAAUAAACUCAAGGGGAGAGGCUAGAGUGCUCCCUCUAAGGUUCGCUCUCGAGCUCCGCUUUCGACUAAAAGUCGACCGGCAUCGAGGAAGCCUUCUAGAAGACUCUAGUUUCGAGGCUCCGAACUAACCUUGGUUAGCACGGGCUCGAAGGAGAAAGGGUUGGGUUAGAGUUCCAAGGUAUCAUAACCUCGAUACUUGGAAAGACGAGUUCGGUCCAAGUACGAGACGGCCCCGAUGAAUCUCUCGCUAAAGAUGUCUUGGGAAGAUCCGCUCAGCCCAAGCAGUUGGCUAACAAUCCCCUCGAAGCCUUUCCUAACAUAGGAUUAAGUCGUACCCGCAGGGUCGACCAAACCUAUUCAAAAAAUAUCGACGUGUCAACUUGUCCAAAUGUACGGCAACUUUCGCUAUAAGGCCGGCAUACACACUCUACUUUUAUACUCGCACUUGUGCAAUCGAGCAUUGGCACCCUUUGCUCUAAUUGUUGUCGAGAACAACAACAAGAUGCAUUCAAAUUUGGUCAAACUUGAGACAUUCUUUGUUGGACGGAGGGAGUAUUCAUGUUCUCCCCCGAAUUGGGGAUUUUGGUUUACGUAUUUCAAUCCUUGUAACCGCCAGAUUAUUUGAAGAUUUCAAUUAUAAUUCUUGAAUUUUAGGCUCCAUUCAUGGGAGGCCAAAACAAGGUAGUAUCAAUGAAAUUGUCAAACGUAUGCAGAACAACAAUCUCACCUGUGAAUUAUACAGACUUAUAGAUUGGUACAUUCGAAUCUAAAAUCUGAAAAGCGUAGGCAUGAAUUUCAUUUGAUUCUUUGCAGAUGGUAAUUAAAAAACGGUUUUACGAACGAUCUCGUAUUCCAACAAUUCAAUUCCAAAAUUUGAAUUCUUGGAGCCAAACACAAGGCACGAUUGAUAGAUUGAAAUCCGAAAUCAAGAAAGAGUAUAGACGUGGAUUGCGAAAUCUAACAAUUCUGCAAAAGCAAGGCCUCGUACGUGUAUGUAGCGCACUUGUUCGGUUCUCUUCUUCCUUCUUCCCUAUCUACGCCGCCGGUUGCCGUUCUUUCUUGGUUAGCAGGACAAAAAGUGGGGUUUCUUGGCACAAGUCGACGCCGAAGUAAUGAAACGUGCGAUCCCUGAAGGCCCAGAUCUGGACGACUUCGUCGUCCUCCGCCUUGAAGCUGCACUGGGUGAUGUAUUGACUGUACCCCUCCCCCUUGAUGACGAUGACGCCGCUGCUCUCCCACCGCGUCAGCUGCAGCUCCUGGAUGCCGGCGUCGAGGUUGACCACGAGCACGGGUAGCCCGCCGUGCUUCUUGCCCAUCCUUUUCCUCCUCCCCUGCAGUUCCUCUUCGGUCGGCGGCGGCCUUGGCGCCGGGGUCUCCUCGCGCGGUAUGCUGGCGGCCUCGAGCUCCUCGUCAGAGAGGAUGGGGCAGAGGUUGCGCAUCACGUCCGGGAUCGGGAGGCGGAAGCGGCUCUGGCGCGAGUCGAGGUCGGUGGCGGUCACGGGCUUCUCGGCGAUGAAGUGCACCGGCAGGUCGAAGCGGAGCCGAAGCCGCGGGAACAGGUGCUCGCGCAGCCACCACGGCUCGGCUGGUUCGCCGGCCGCCUUGGAGGGAGCGGCGGCGGAGAGCGGGACGGCGUCGAUGAUGACGGGCGGCGGCGCCAAGAACGGGACCGGGGCGCCGGCAUUCGCCGAGUGGCUGGCCGCGUUGGCGCGUUGCUCUGCGGCGGCGGGGUCGUACACGGCCAGCAUCAGCGCGUGCGGUCUCUUGAGGCCGGCGUAGCAGCACGGGGGGUUCUUGGUAGGGAGGGGAAGGUUCUUGGCUCGAUCGGUGGAGCACAUGGUGUUCUUGGCUCGCUACUCGAUCGUUGGGAAUUGGGAUCUCCUACGUACGUGUUCUUGGGCGUCUAAGCUUAUCGCGGAAGGCUAAUUCGCUAGUGCUAUCGGUUGCAAUCGCCAAUGGUUCAUGCCGACCUCCCGGAUUAUAUAGAUGGGAUGGGAUGGGAUGCUCGUCGGAAUUGGGCCGAGUCGGUGAAAGAGAGGGCUUUGCCGGCUCCGGGCUCGGAUCUCCUCGUGGCAGGGGAGGACACGUCUAUCGAGAUGGAAGCAUUAAAUGGUGCGUAUCCGAGUACAGCACUCAAUGGAAGAACAGAAAGAUGGCUGGUGGGCCCAGGCUGCGCUGAGCUGUCUGCCCCCCACCCCCUCCUACGCCGGCAGCCAAUGGCGGCCUCCUCCUCCUCCUCCUCCUCCGCGCCAGCACACCCCGUGCGUGAAUCCUCUCUCCGGCAGCGGCGCAUUCCCUCCGCUUCUUCACCCUCGCCUCCCCGCCGCCUCCUGUUCGGCGGUGAGCCGUGAUGGCCUACUACGGUGGCUAUAGAUCAUGGACACCAUCAACCACGAGAGGAGAUGGUGUUGGGUGCUCUUACUGUGGUUCUUGCAGCAAUGGAUCAUGGGUCUCAUCUUCCGCACAGGAGGCAUUCAGUUGUGAUGGGCUGCAGUUGCUCUUCGGCAAUCGGCAUCUUCCGACCUUGAGGCAGGAAGGGGUGUUGCUUGCUCCGCAAGACAGAAAGACGACGGUUGCUAAGCUGAUCCUCACGACCAGAGUCCCAGCAGGUGCAUCUUCACCGGCCUCCACACCCCUGCAAGGACCAACACGGCCAGCAUCGGGCUUGUACCGACUCUGCUUCAGCGACGCCCACCAAGUGUUCGAUGCCAUGCCCCAGUGACGGGUCUGCGGGAUUGUGGCGAAAACCACUGUGUGCCUGUGUCUAUUGAGUGCCCACUAAAGAAGACAAAGGACCGGUGUGCGGAAAGUUGCUGCUUGACUGUUUGUCAAGUUCUGGUGCCUUUUGGCCUUUCCUGCUACAGUCGUGAUCAUUCGUUUCGAGCUCGUUCGCUAGUGAUGCCCAUACUCAGAAGGUGCUCGAUGAAAUGCUGAACAGGAGCAGGAAGAUAAAUUCAAUGGCUAACAGGACUUGGGAGCUGCUCACAUGUUGUGCUGAGCCGUGUGAUGUAAUCAAGCAUGAUCAAGUGUUCUGUUUGCCAUCGGAGUAUAUGUGAUUACCAGUGACAAGACCUGAGGAUUGUGCAAUGAAAACAUUGGUGCUGCUUAUUGUCAAAUGGUAUCAGUCGAUGUUGAGGAGGCUGGCUGAGGUGUUUGUGGAAAAACACUUUUAUCUUCCACAUGUUCCCUCUGCUGUGUUCCCCAUUGGAUCUAACAGCUACAUAUGUUUUUCAGAUUUACUCAGUGAAGGUGCUGACAUAGAGUGUUUCAGAUUCUUUCCACCAAAGAGGGCACACUGUGUAGUUUCACUGCUACUAGAGGUGUGCAGAUAUUUUGUGAGACUCGAAGGUAUUCUCUAUUGGAGGCGUCAUAACGCAUUUUGGCUUGUGGUAGAUCAAGUGUAGACAUGCGGUUGACCAUUACCUUAUAAAUGCAGGGAAGAUUUAUUCAAGCGGAGGCCAAUUAACGGCAGCAAAUGGAAAGGUGAUUACAACUCUUGCAUUGUUAAUUACAAAUGGAAAGGUGAUUACAACUCUUGCAUUAUCAAUAUGCGUCAACCUGUUAAUGUCAAUUUGGUGGAACUAGAGGGCAUUGUUAAUUAUCCUGAUGUAUUAGAAGGACGUUGGUCAUUAUUCACGAUGCAAGUGUACUUGGAUAUCCCGAUAUGCUGACAAUUCCUCACAUCCUUGUGGACUAUCAAUUGUCACCAAGAGACUUCGCUGAAAGUAGAACUACUAUAGUGGGAAGUCUGAGUCUGAAAGUGUGAGUGGUAUAUACAAUGGGACCCUGGAGUUCUGAAGUUCAUUCAUCUAAUAUCACGUGGUGGGUAAUUUGUCGGAGGAUGAGAUUGGAGGGCAUAACCGGGGUGAGUAAUGCGCCGAACCCCUGGACCUCUGCGUCGUGACUCCAACCAGGGAGGGGACUGUCGCACUGCAGAGGCAGGGGAAGACGCAUUAAGGGGGGUAAUUAGAUUCUCUAAUGCCUGCUCGAUCUGAUCAGGAGGUUGGCAUUAUAAAGCCAUCAUACAAGACUUGAGGCCUAAUGCCAGAACCCUAGCAAACUGAAAAAACUAAACAACUUGGAAACAAACUCUAGAAAUGCUAUAUAAUACUAAAUUGAAUGGAUGUGAAUUGAUUCCCUUAUUCACUCGCUGUUCUGUCUGCACCAGCUGAAGCCCUUAUGUGGCAUCAAAAUAAGUGGAUUUCAUGUCAAUCGGUAAGGCACCUGAGGCAUUCCAAACACUUCAGCAUAAAUAUGAAUUUACUAACUAGCUGGAUAUACUGGAGCUGAUGUAUUUCUCAACUCUGCCAUUUCUACUUCCAGUUCCAGGAGAGAGAAGGUGGCCACUGGAUUUGAAUUGAAUCAUAAUACUGAUAUUUUUGUUUCAUUGUUUGCAACUUUGCAAGAUACUACUCCCUCCGUUCCUUUUUAUAAGAUGCUCUAGCUCUGUCCUAAGUCAAACUUCUUGAAGUAAGUUUGACCAUAAUGUCUACAUUAUCCAAUAGUCUUGAGUUCUUAACCAAAGACAAGCACCAAAUAGGCCGGUGGUCAUUUCUCUUUCUCCAAAAUCAAAUUCCUGCGAGCUAUUAUUAUUCGUGGUGAAACACUCAUCCGCAUGCACUUUUUGCCAUUUUUUUCUCCCUCACAAGGGCCAAGAAUGUAGGCUGUGGUGGCUUACUGUACUCGUGUAUUUUGGAUUCGGAACACCACGCAAGAACAUAUUUUGACCGAGUGAUACAAUUACACUAAUUUCACUUUCACCCGAUUGCGGCUCUAUUUUUUUCUCAAACGCGCACCAAGGUUUGCAUCAUUUCCAUUUGAUGAAACACCAAGCAGUCGACAGGUCUUACAACCACAGAAACGAAAGGUGAACCAAAACCAGAGCCAAGCGGUAAGAGAAGAGAAAGCUAGGAAAAAGCUACAAAACCUAUUUCCUAAGAAAGAAGCUAUAAAGCCGAAAUCCAAAAAAACUGUACAACUACAGUACUGCUCCCUGUUCCGACUGAAUUACUGCUCUAAUAUACACAUGAGUGACUCCUGUUUACGCCUGGCAAAGUUGUGCACGACUGCACGGUUAAUUUUCAAUCAUAGAGCAACAUGCCUUUCAUUGAACACUACAAUGGGAUCUUGUGACAUUGCUAGCCAUUUGAUGGUCUAUAAUUUCUUUUGUUCUACUUUCCCUCCAAGAUACUUAUCGAAAAUUGAAAAUAAUCAGCCUGAAAAAAGUACAUAGUGCUGUGGAAUAUUAUUAUUUGAAAUCAUUGUAGUUAGCGAUAGUUAUCAUGGAUGAUGGUAACUAUUUGAUGUAAAAUAAGUUGGAACAAUCCAUCUUACAACUCAAACUACAAUCAAAUUGCAAAUAUUUCUCAUCGCAAGCCCCAACUAUUGUGCCUAUUUUAGAACACUUGAAUGUUAGCGUGUGUACUUCUAUUGCAUGACUUCACUUGGACAAUCCAAAGAAGAAAGCAUGCCAAAAGAUACAUCCUUUCUGCUCAUCUGUUCUUCUUGGCUGCUUGGCCUGUAGUACGAAUCUGGUUCACUGCUUUAGGUAAUACUUUUUUGAGUAAAAUACAUCAUAGGUCCUAUAACUAUUCGAGGUAUGUCAACUGAGUUCUAAUUCUAUCAAAGUGCAUAUUUGGAUCCUAAUUCUUUGUAAGUUGUUCACGCGUGGUCCUAUUCGAACCAGAGCCGCUGCUGACCGGCCUUGUGGCAUGUUGACCGCCACGCUGGCUAACUGACAAGUCGCUGAAAAGUCCAAAUAAGCCCAACCUUUCCGUUUUACUCAUUCUGCGGUCCUUUCCCCUGAUUCUCCCCACCUCGCUCGGAGCAUAGGAACUUGCAGGGGCUGCGGUGUUGGAGGGAAUCCCUUCUUCUUGCCUCUCUUCCACGCUGCGGAAGAGGCACUUGCGGUCGAGACAUGGCAGCGGGCCGGCAGCACGGGCAGCUCAAGCAACGGGAAGAAGAAAGAGAAGAAUGAUAGAAAAUUUGCAACUGGAGUCUCCAUUCUUUAUAAGGGGAUUUAUGCAAAAUUCCAGACCACAGGAACGGUGGGACCUUGGCCGACGUGGCAGCGGUCAACAUGCCACCUGGCAGGUCAGCAGCGGCUCGGGCUCAAAUAGGACCAUGCGUGAACAACUUACAAAGAAUUAGGGUGCAAAUAUGCACUUUGAUAGAAUUAGAACUCACUUGACACACCUCGAAUAGUUACAGGACCUGUGGUGCAUUUUACUACUUUUUUUUGCGCAUACACUGCUUUAGGUAAUACAACUAGCUGUCGCUCUCUUUUCACCCUCUAUCAUGUACAUAUCUUUCUGGCAUCUAUACAUGGCCUAAUUCAUAUUUUUAUCAAUUAUUAUUGAGAUUACAUGGCUGUGGCAUAACUGUUCCCAGUUUCCUCCAUUGUGCAUUGUGGCAAGUGCUCUUUGCAUCACCACUACCUCGUUUUAGAGUAAGCCUGACAUUGUGCAAGGCUAUGCCAUGGCAAGGUACAGUUGGACUGCAAUUCAGCUUGAUAGCUUCUCUUGAGGCACUUGUACCCCUGAUGUUCUUAAACAACACAUUACUCACCUCCACUGCCGAUUGCUGCGACAAUUGCACAGGUCAUAUCUAUGCACAUAACAAAUGAACAAAACCAACUUGGUUGUCGAGUUUGUACCUGUUUCUUACAUGGUGUAGCAGAGUCGCAAUAGUUCUGGUUGAUAAUGAUUGGGUUCCAUACAUUAUCCAUGAUUAUGUUCUGGAACACGAUAUUCUUUGCAUAACCACGUCCCCCCUGCCAUGUCUUGAUACGAGCUCCAUUUGUCGUGCCAUGUAGUCGCACACCGUCGAUGGUGAUAUUUGCAACUUCAGCUUCAGAGUUGCGAUCACCUAAGCUCCCAAUGCUGAUCCCAUGACCUGGUCCACACACGAUGUUCUUCACAUGUAGGUUCUUAGUUCCGUCCUCGAUUGACAUGCAGUCGUCCCCAGUCUUGAUUGCGCAGUCUCUGACUUUCACAUCCUUACUAUGGGCGAUAUGGAUGCCGUCAGUGUUGGGGCUAGUGCUGGGGGCUGUGAUUGAUAGGCGGGAUAUCCUUACAUCACUGCAACACUCCACUGACAUGUGGAUUUGUUGGCUAUUUAACAGUUCUAAAUUGUUUACUUUCAGGUUUGUACAAGAGUAGAACGUCAAAGCCUGCAAAUUGAAAAGAAAAAUAGUCGAUUUGUAAUGAAGAAAACAAGGCUAGUUCACUGUGAUAAAGAUAAGAAGAUUGUAGAAGUGCACUCACUGCUGGAGAUUGUCUGCAAGGCUGAAAGGAAAAGAAAAGAAUAAUUUAUAUUGCUUUCAGAAAAUAUGAAUCUGUGCUUUUCAAACAUAGCACUAAUGGAAGCUGUAUUAGUUAACCUUUAAACUUGAAAGUGACAUCACAUUUUCACAGUGCUAGGAGAUACAUUUCAUUAGUGAACAAUUUAAAAGUUCAAAAUACUUACGAGUUCUGCAUUUACUUUGCAGGAGUUCUGCCACCAUAUCUUGCCAUUUCCAUCAAUGGUCCCACCACCAGUGACAGUCAGACCUCUCACAGCUUUGAACAGAAUCCAGUGCCUAAUGGUUUGCUCGAUCCAAUAUGAUCUCUUUUGAGGAGCCACCAAAGUACCCUCUAUCUGGAAUUUGGUGGAAUUUGAGAUCUUUGUUUGGAAAAUUUCUUAUGAAAACAAAGAAUAUAUGCAUUGUUCUUGUUAUCCAUCUAUCUCACCAUUAACUUAAUAUUGGAUUUGCAUGGGCCAGAAAAGGUUACAUGCUUCGUGAGGUAUUUAUUGCCCUUGGGAAUGAGCAGAAUGCCAGGAUGAGAAGAGGAGCAAGCUGCAGCCCACGUCUUUUCCAGUGCCUACAAGAAGGGGAUGCACAAAAAACCUGUGGUAAGCAUUCCAUGUUCACUUUCAUGUCUAGGGAAAGAAAAAUCAUGCUCUAUAUUUCAAGGUGUUGUUGCAUUUCACGUACCUUUGUGUCAUCAUGGCGUCCAUCCCCAUGAGCCCCAUAUCUGAGCACAUUGAAGACAUUAUUUGAAGCUAGAAACCGGCCUCUGUGAUCAACCCCAUUUGUCAAAGGGAUCACUUCCAUGUGUCCCUUGGCGAGUACACAGCACACUAACAAUGGCACUAUACGGAACGCAGAGAAAGCGAGCACAUUGGAGGCCAUUUGUAGAAGUAGAAGAAUGCCUCCUUAGGUAUGUGGUGUUGUAUGCAACGACUGAUGGGAUCAAGCCUAACAUCGGUAGGAUUAUUUGUAGGUGCCAAGUUGGGUUGGAAAUCUUUGGAUCUUCCCCGUUCAGGUUGCUUCGGGUUGAUUAGAUAAGUUGGCAUAUAUGUUUGGAGUGUAGCAAUAGAAGAUUCUACUGGGAUGGGAAUCGAGAGAAAUGUGCUUAAAAAGUUGUGCUGCCCAUUACUUCCAGCUAACCCGUUUGGCUCUUGAGGUUGCAGCACUAAGAUGCUAGUAGUAAAAUUUAGAACACCUGGAGCACUCGCUAUGGAGAAAAAUCACGCAAAAAAUACAUGCAUUUUUCGGUGCUGCACUCUUCAGGCCCACUUUACAUGACAAUUUUAACCUGACAGAUGUGCGCUAUGCAGGUUUGUGGAAAUGGUGAAUCAUUUUGCACCUCAUCAGUGCUAAUUACAACUCUUUAGGGAAAGAAGGCAUGUUCAUGUGAACAUCAACUUUUUCAGGAAGGUCUCUGAAUAUUGCUGAACAGAACUUUCAUUCAGUUAUAGGAUCUUAGCUGAAAAAGGAAAGACAUGGGGCUCGAUCCAAGGGUGCCGGUCUGAUGGAGAUUUCUUGCGCUGAAAUUUUUGUACGGGUUGUGGGAUCCUUGCGAGCAUGAAGAAUAUGUGGAGUAAGGAGGUGAACAACCUUUGUUGAAGCUUCCAAGUAUAGAGGCUAGAAGAACAUUUUUUGGUUGCUAGAAACAGCAGGAUGUGCUUAAAUUUGGCCAAUUAGAUUUGCUGCGCUCUGCAAACACACCAGAGAUUUGAGGACCCUGAGAGAUGUAUGAGCCACAUGUAUGCCAACAAAUGUAAACACAGUAGAGAUUUCAGGCCUGAGAGAUGUAUGAGCCGCAUGCAUGCCAACAAAUGUAACCCAUUCACCCCGUGAAAUUGAUAAAUCGUUGAGGCCACAGCUAACCAAAGCAAUCAAGUACCAAGCUGUAAUGAAAAAUGUCAUGUGAAUGUGCAUCUACAUUUGCCAAGAAGGAAGUACAUCUAUUCGUGUCCCAGUAACAACCAAUAGUAAUUACAGUACAUAUUGGUUAACUGAUUAUUCACAUCUAUGCACCGGAACCCACUCUUCAGAUGCCACCAGUGCGGUAGGUGCACAUCGGACCACAGCACCGAAAUGCCGUGCUCCCAGUAGUGCUGGGCAGUACGCACGUCAACGUACUGCCGGCCUGGGUGCCGCACCGACGACGUGACGCGGAAGGGUGUCGCCAUCGGUGCUGACUGGACCACGGCACCAGAAUGUCGUGCUCCCAGUAGUGCUAGGCAGUACGCACGUCAACGUACUGCCGGCCUGGGUGCCGCACCGACGACGUGACGCGAAAGGGCGUCGCCAUCGGUGCCAGUCAGCCGCAGUUGCGUGACCCCAACGAGAACCCCGCCUCGUGGUCGUGCUUGCACGACGGCCACAUCUUCUUCAGGGCCAUGGCGGACAGUUGCCGGAGAGCUAGCCAGGGUUUGGGCUGGGGUUUUGGUGCUCGGCGGCAAAGUGGGUGGGUGCACGAAAUGGGGACGGGGCCGGUCCCCAUUUAAUAUGACCGCGACAGGGAGUGUUGGGUGGGGACAGGAAAGGCGAGGGGGUCUGAUCGCGCGCACCAACCGGACCACGCGGCGCUCCAUUUGGCGUCCAUGGAGACGCAAACCCGCCUCAAGUUUGGGGCCGGACUGCGUUUAGGCGGACCAAAAUCCGGACCGCGGCGCAAAUGGGUCGCCCUGCUGGUGACGCAUUUUGUCCGUUCCGACCCGAACGGACCGCGCCAAACCAAAUGCGUCACCCGUCUACCACGAUUUGGCGAUCCGAGAAGGCUAGCUCUUCUGUCUUGGUUUACGGUGCACAAACUUCUUACUCCUUGGGAAAGUCACAGCAGGCAGAGCUCCGCAUUUUGCACGGUAAGUCUUUACGGAUUUUGCACAAAACAGCAUACAUGAUGCUCAUGGACAACUCAAAACAGAUACAAAUACGAUGCCACAAGGAGAAUUAUGAACUGGGAAGAAAACAGAAACCAAGCAGGACAGCACAUACUGUCGAAUCCAAUCUGUGAUUUUGAUUUAGCUUUUGCUCAUGUAUCAAGAAUAUAAUAUGUCUUUGCUCUUCAAUAGUUGCAAUGGGGCAAAGUUACACAUCUGUAAGGUGAUAUAUGCAUGUAAAACAGAGAAAAAAGAUGUACAUGACUAAACCUAGCCGGAUGAAUAUGGGUAAAAUAUGAGCAUCGAAAAAGAAUGCAGCAGAGGGGGAGGGAGAGAAAGGGGGAUGUUUUCUUUUGUCAGACUUCUUUCUUUCAACUUUUUACUAGUAUAUGGCAUUAUUUUGAGCAAGAUCUUGGCAGAGCAGCUUCGCGUGAUCCUGGACGCGGCCAAGUUCAGGAAGGCAUCACUCACUAUAGUAUGAGCAAACAAAAAGCUGGUGUGGCAAGACAGUUACGUUAUUGGCACAACAGCAUCUAGGUUCUUCUGCAGCAGCCAGCCAGUAGGGUAGUUGAGUUGAGGAGGUUCCAAAUCAAAAUUCCAGACCAUAAUCCGAGUGCAAUUGUCUGCUAGGCCUUCCAUUUGACUCUCAUCCUCCACAAGCCUCUCAAUAAAUCUUGACUCCUGCAAUGCCACCAUGUUUCAGUAUAUUGAUGCUUUCUUGAUAUGCUAGUGUAUAUAUAGUAAGCAUUGCCUUAGCAGGUCAUGUAUAUCAUACACUACAGGAAAUGGUAUGCAACUCUGGUUCCUUAAAAGCACUGUGUCGGAUAUACUUGCUCUAAUAAAUAUCCCAAUGAUUACAGAUGUUCACUUCAACAGAUUGUACCUUCACAGAGCCUACUUAAUAUUAAUAUUGCAGAGUUUCAGCUAGGAUGGUAAUUUCUUCACAAAGAGUAGAAUAAUCGCAUGCUCAGGGGAUAUUUUCAAACUAAAACUUAGCUAAGCUGAAAUUAAGAUAUCAAGUCAAUUCAUCUACCUGGGUAUUCUGACAUUUACUGAAGAAAGAACUCACCUGCAAUCCACCCCUGCCACCUGAAUGGAGUAUAAUAGAUUCUAGGGUGGGGCUCUUCCAUCUCUUCGGAUCCCAAAGUAUAGUGCUAUUAAAAGCAAAUCCAGAGAAACCAAUUGGAAAUCGUCGAAGUACACCCCUUCCCUGGUUUGUAUGCCAUCCCGUGACCUGGUCACCCUUACAAAGGGGCCCUUCUAAAGCCACUCUGUACUUGGUCCCAACAUGUGUUGCUACUGGCCAUGUACCAAAGCGCCUGCAGAACAUAGCACAAAAUUAUGAGGUUCAUCUUAACUGUUACAAUGAGAAACAAAUGCUCUGCAAGAAUAGGUCGCAUUUCAUGUUAUUGGGUUCAGUAACAGACAUUUUGAUGUAAAAUUUCAAGCAGAGAUUACCACCUCUCUUGGUUUCACCUGAGAACAAACACCAUUUCGCAUCCUCUAUAAUUCUAUCACCACUUAACUGCGAUUAUAGAACCGCACAUCAUGAUACCUAUAACUGACACAUCCCUAGAACUAGUUCAGAUAAAUAACUCCUGACAAGGGAUAUCAUUUGGGCCCUCUGUACUUCUAUCACCACUUGACUGAGAUUACAUCACCACCCAUCAUGAUACCUAUAAUUGAUGCAUCUCUAGAACUAAAUUAGAUAAAAGACUCCUGGCAACUUUUAUUUGACCAUCUGUAGAAUGGAGAAAUGGAUUCGUCUAGGGUCAGGACUAAAUCCCAGGCCUGGCAGAUUAGGAGUUCAAACCUAUUUAGCAUUCUAGGAUAUCUCAGCAAAGAACAUUUAUAUAAAUAGAGUUCAAGUUUGUCAACCUGUUGUCUCACCGGGACGCACAACUACUUCUCUGUAUAAUUUGUAAUAAAGUGGUUAUCUCAAAGCCUUUAUAAAUUCUGUAAUUAUUAGGUUAGCCGGCAAUAAAAAAAUUCAUCUCACACCUGACUAGACAAACAAGACGUUUUGAUGGGUCUCUUUAUAACGCCUGUAAAGUAAUCAUCAAUCAAGCUUUUAUUUAGUGGAGAAAACUUUGUGUCCUACUACCACUACAAUGCUUAAAAUAGUCCAUGUUUUGCUACGUGGGACAUCUUUUAGCACCAAACAUCGGGAACAGGAAAUAAACACAAAGCUACUAGAAAUAAAGAAUGGAAAAGUGGAACAAAAGGAGGAAAGAAAACAUGCAUCUCUGUGUCAGACUCCAUCCAACCCAAUAAUGUGUACUUUAGCUUCAAGAAAAUAACCUAUUACCAUAGUUGAUUGUAAAGUUUAGAACAUUACUCAGUCUCAGCAGAUUUGACAAGGAGAAGAAUAUUUCAUACUAACUAGCAACCGUGGACUCAGUGUUCAAUUGUUCAUAAGCAACAAGCAGUUCCAAGAUUAUUUUACAUCAUCGACAUGCAGUGAGCAAUACGAAGGUCAGCAUAAGCCGAGAAAUAAUAGAUUCGUCAGCAUAAGCCAAGACAUAAUAGAUUCUAAAAUUUGAUGACAAGGUAAAAUGAUGAAGACGCGUAUUAACACUGAGUUUUGUGUCAAGAUUUUAAUAUUUUUUGCUACAGGUUCGUAAUAACUUGCAGCAAAGAAAAUGCUAGUACAGAACUGUCACCUGAUUUUCCGCAUUUCUUCAAAUAGAUCAACUGAGUAUGCUCUCUCCUCAUCAGCGAAAUGCACUAUCCCAUCUAGACGGUGCUUCUUUAUAUGAAAAAUUGCAUUAUUCUUUUGGCAGACAAUAAUCUUCCUAAUAUUUGUAGCGUUCCUGUUGCAGACAAUAUGUCUGUACAUGAUCCCAGAUGACCUCAGGAUUUCUACUGUUUCACGGGACUGAUAUGGCCACUCUGCUACUAUCCACAGGAGAGGAGGCGGUACAUCCUUCAAAACAUGAACCAGACGGUUAAGGUAAUAUGCCUGGUGUGGUCGAACGGUUGUUGCCGUGACAACUAUUAGCUGCUUUCUCAUAACAAUACCAGAAUCAUUAACAGAACGUAGAAUGGAGGAGGCUUCCACAAAAUCUGCCUCAUCAUCCAACAUUGCAGGAACUGGAGGACUGUCCUCAACCUGUGGCUCAUUCAUUGGUUCAGCUUCAGCCUCUGCUACGAAUGGCUCCAACUCGGUGCCUUGAUGUUCUAUCAUCUGCCGUCUAUCAAUCACAUCACCGUCGAAUGGAAGCACCGCCUUUUCAGAAGGCAUGUUCUUUGAUAAAUCAGCAGGGAAGAGCGGGGUGCAUCCGAUGAAAAUGCCAAUCAUGAAACACACAGAUAGACGGAUCAUGGCCCUUUCCCAGCCCAUCCCCUUUGACUUUGGUCUCUCCAAGGACCUAGCAUGCUUGUGGGACAAUAUAACUGCCCAUGCAGAUUUAAUGCUGCUCGACAUCAGGACAAGAUCAAGUGAAGCCAGUGAAGUCAGCAGCCCCCUCAUUGCAACAUAGGACUGUGAGUACGCCAUCUUGGGAGACGGAGAGGGAUCAAAUUCUGACCAGUCCUUAACCGACCCCUCUCGCUGCAUUGCCCCAGCAUUUCUUCGGGCCAUUGCACAUGUACAGCUCUAGAGUCGCAGGCACAACCUUUCUGACCCAAUAAUGCCGUUUUACCAACAAGAUGGGCUCCAAUCACUUCAUCUGAUACCAGCUCAGACGUAAACCGAUCAGUUACCCAACAGGAACAGGCUUCGCAGCACAGGUAUUGUGAUUCUGUCCGCAGAAUUCCAACUGUACACCGAAAUAACGCUUCAAAACUUCAGCCUUCUCUCCUGCUGUGACCAAAAUUGGAACAUAUUAGAGCAUGAAAAUCACGGGCGGAGGGCCGCCCUACCUUGAUUUUUGCCUCAGUUACGAAUUGGGGAAGAUUAUGAAACGGGAAGCUAAAGGGCGGAAUCCGUUCGUGGGGUGAUGGGAGGAGAAACGGUGGGGAGCGAGAGAAUCGAAGGGGAGACCAACCUGCGGUGGAGGCGCUCGCGCGAGGAGGAAGACGAGCUAGGGUGCUCGGCAGCGGGAUGGGUGGCGGCUCUCGGGCGAGGAGGAAGAAGAUCCACGGAGCGAGGGGUCUGGGUCGCUCGGCAGCGAGAUGGGGGCAGAGGGAGGGAGGGGAGGUAUAGCUGGCCAACAACCGAGGGCGAGGAGUGCCAAGGAGUAAAUGAGCUUGAAAAAAGGAUAGUUUUAGAAUUGAGUAAAAAAAGAUGGAGUAGUUCACAAACUUAUAAAAUGCAACAAUAACAUCUUAAACCUUGAUUAAUGAUACUGUAUAAGAAUACAUGGAUGAAACAUGUUAGAUGUCGUAAUUGUUGCAUCAAAUUGUUGGCUAUUCGAAUUAACUUUAAGACAAAUUAAUAAAUCGAUAAAUCGUUUGUUAGAUGUACAUUUGUUUCGGCCUUCGGAAUGUGUACAUGCGUCUCUGUAUAAAAUAAAUCUGCAAAUUUUUUCAACUAAUUUAACUCUAAAUCGUUAGAGGAAGCGAUGGCGAUGACUUGUCAAGCUAAGCAUUUGGACGGUGUCCGACAAAAACAUCGUAGGAGGCAGCGACGACGGGUCAAUUGUCGCCUACUUCGACGGCCAGUUUUCGACGACGGCGCUCGUGUGAGGCGGUGCAUGUGGCGUUCCAACGUGCCUUUGCGGAAUCGACAACGAUUGGCCUGCAAAGACCGGCUCUUCCGGAGACGCAACUUCUCGCACUUAUAGUUAUUUUAGCUAUCUACUGUUGAUGUACAUUUACGGUUGGUCACUGAUGUCUCAAUUGUCGUUCAUUUACUCAUAUUUCUUGCUUAAUGAAAGUUGAUAUGAAAAUCAUCUUACUUAAUGACAGUAGAUAUGAUACAUAUUUUUUCUUCGUGUGAUAUGUUUAGAACACUUUCAAAACAAUUUACGACCACCACCCAUUCCUGUCACAUGCUACACACGUCUUUUUCAUGUGAUAUGUUUAGAACACUUUCAAAACAAUUUACGACCACCACCCAUUCCUGUCACAUGCUACACGCGUCUAAUGUGGCAAUCUUAAAGGUAUCCAAAUUGAUGUCCCUCUCAGCCACCAAAUGUUUGCUUCAAGUGCUUCCUAAGAAAUAACCGAAAAGCUUCCUCCCAAAGUUUCUAUUUAAUCCUCCAGAAAUGAAAGGAGCCCUGGGGUCCUAGGUGCAAAACAGACGGCAGCCUUGAACUACGGAAAAGCUUGAGUCGCGAGGGAAGCCAGGAGCGACGACGCCCCACCCGCCGUUGGUUCGCGCCACGGGGGUUCAUCUGAACCACCCCUCUCUGCCGGCCGCACGACGCGUAUCACGUAAAACUUGAGCUCAAGUACGUCAUGUGAGUAUUGAUGUCUUCUGUGAGCACACGAGUAGACAAACAGGUGGUCGAACAAAACAAACCACGACUGACUUUUCUCAAUUGUACUCUCCUACUUGCUUCGAUCCUCUGAAUAUUCCAUCCGAUCUUCCUGAGUUACACCAUGUGCUGGUACCAGGAACUAGUAUUAGGCUGCCGUUUGUGAAUUGGUCACGUGGAUUUUUCUUAAUUCCAUCUAUGUUUACGUUUGGCAGCAUCUAUACAUCUAUACUGUUACUAAUAUUCUCUUUCUGAUUUUAAAUUCUUGACUCAAAUUUGUCUAAAUAUGAAUGUAUCUAUUUUUAAAAAAGUCUAAAUACAUGUAAUAUUUCGACAAUAAUUUAGGAUCGUAGAGAGUACUUUUAAUCAGCUAUCUAGCUGGCACUAGAAUUAAAUAAUUGCAUUUGGUCAGAAUUUUCUUUAUUAUUUAUUUAAUCUAACCAUCCGUACCUCUGGAGUUAGGUAUAUUGUGAAACAGCUUGCAUUGAACGUCUUUCUCCACUUUUUUUUAUAAAAACAACAACAUAAGCGUAUCCGAAAACCUUGUAUCUUUUCGUCCCGAAGAAAACCUUCUACCGACAGAGUCUGUCUCCAGACAGGCGUAUAUUAAUCGGAGAAGACCGAUUCAAAUCACACGUCCACUCCCACAAAUGAAAUUCUAACAUUCCCCACCGCGCGCGCACAGUAUCACGACAAAGCUGGUUGGUUGCUUCGUUCUUCGAUCGAUGUUUCAGUUCUCAUGUUCCUGUUCCUACGAGCAACGGAGCAAGCACGCAUGGCAAUUGCAAUUGCACUGAGGUCAACACCCAACAGCGCCCACCUCGAAGCCUCUCUCCGACUCCCCCCCAAAGCUCCUCCCUGUACGGAGAAACUGCAGAUGCGUGCGCAGCGUGUGGAAAGAGCUAGCCGAAUGCUUUAGACACGAGCGCGCGUGCCGGUUCGUUGGUGCCGCGUCUUCGUAGGAGUUUGGUGCCUGGCUCUGGCUCUGGCACCGGCAGCGAGUCGCGUGAAAGAGAUCGUGCCGUUGCACGGUCCCUUUUUUACGAUCCGGCGGGGGUCUUUGACGACAAGCGCCCGGCACCGAACCCCUGGCGCUCGCGUCGACACCUCGGUCCUUUUUUAGUUUUUGUUGUCACCUAAUACACGAACCAUCCUCCUGACGAGUACGGACUACCUGACCGCAGUGCAAAGCAACAGGGGGUGUAGGAGACUGACUGUUCGAUGUGGCACGUUUUCGCGACAGACAAACUGGGGGCCUCGCCUAUGCUGUGCGUGGGUGUCGCUGUUAUGCACUUAAAUAUGGUACUGCAUCGUGGAAUGGAAAAUAUAGGUUUGUUGAAAUCUUCGGCGUGUGUUGCUGUAGCUUGAUUUUGAAGAGUAAGGGGUGAUUUGGUGCACGCGAAAUUGAACCAUGGCACGUGGAGUGCACAUCAAGCAAGCCGUAAGGCACAUCUUCGGCUCUUCGCUGCUUCUUUUUUUAGAACUUUUUUUAGAACUAGGCAGACCGAAAACGUGAAUGUGGGUUGCAUCGCGACGGGCGACCAGGGGAUCUCGGCCCACGUGCAAUUGCCCGUGCCUCCGCCUGGGCUGUUCCAGGCCCAAAUAAUAGAUCUCCACGGAUGCUGAAUGCAUCUAGGCCCAACUGCUACCAUUUCAACCUUCCACGCUUGCUUCGUAGGAAAUUUAGGUUUGUGACCUACCCUUGUUCCUCUUUCUUAUCGGUGGUGCCGCUCACAGUGCAUAUUGAGGUUAGGGGGUGAAACCUUUUAUAUUGCUAAUUCUAAAGUCCUAAUCUGUAUGCAUAUAAGAUUCCAAGUUUAAACAAACUUGUUUUAGAUUGAGUCAAGGUUUAAUCAGUAACCGCAAUAUAAUUAACCUUUAAUCAGACACUUAUCUGUGACUUCCCAGGACACACAUGUGUGAGUCAUGCGAGUCAUGCGCCAUCAGAUUAGGACAAUCAACUUAGGUCGUUUCAAUUAGUAUUGUACCCGGGUGAUCUUUCUAGUAUAUUAAUAUUGUAUUCCAAAACUAAUCUUCAUGAAGUAUUUACUUAAGUACACCUUGAGUAUGUGUAAAUUCCUCAAGUACAAAUACCAUCAAGUAAUCAUUCCAGAUCAACAAUAAUUCCACAUUAAGGUAUUAUUUCCAAAUGAGAUUAAAUAGUUGCACGACAUAAAAUUCCUACAUCCCUCCCACUUGUCCAAAACAUUUAAUGAAAUAACCAAAAGACCAUUUAUGUCACUGAAAAUAAUUCUGAGAAUAAUUCCUGCCUAACUGGCUUAGUCAGUGCAAUAAUGAUAUACUCAUAUGGGACAAAUAAUCCAAAAACCAACAACAUGAAUGUGGUAUAUAUUCCCUCAAUGUGUUUACCUUAUGAAGAUCUUGAUCGCUUCAGCACUUCCACAUUAUUAACAUAACAGUACCAACUUCCGAUGUACAUUCCACAACCUUAAGUGGAGUAAGAAAUUCCCUUAGCCACUACUCCCUUCAAUGCUCAAGAUGCAUCAAAAUAUUAACCUUUCAUAAAAGAACAACCGAAUCAUGUUUCCAUUUACCGCAAAAGAUAGCACCUCGUUCCAAAGUAUAUAUUGGUUGAAAGUUUUCCAAUCAUCCAAAUCUUUUUCCCUUAUAGUAUAAUAAAUAGCCGAAGAUUGUGUCCAUCAAACAUAAUGAAUAACCCAUAUAGUUCCUUUGACAUUGUGCAGUAAAUGUGUCAUAUAAUUCCAGUGCUCUUUUCCAGGAUUUGUUUGACAGUUACCAAUAAUUCCAGGAAAUGUCGUUUUCCAUGCUAAUCAAGAUAGCAAUAAUUCCAGCAAUAUGACUAAGGUUUGGUUGCAAUAAUAAUAUCUCAAAAUAAAUAAUUAUGAGAUGUCAAUUAUUCUUCCUUUCCUUAGGAGUUCAAACAUUAUUCCUCGCUAAGUGUAAUUCACUUCAUAAAGGUAUUUUUGUUCCAACAGGUUUGCAAAUUCCAUAGAUAAAUAAUUCAAAACUAUUAUCUAAGUAUUUUCAUUCCCUAAGCAUGAUAAAAUCAUAAACAUUCCUUUCAUAUGAAAGUUAGGAAACAAUAGCGAAGCUUUCACUUCAUCAAUGUGACUUUGAGUUUACAACCACUAACAACAUUAGCAUAUAUACAACAUAAAAUAAUUUAUACAUACCUCUGUACGUAAGAGCCUUCCGCCAUUAAGAUAAAUCAUUAUGGCAUUAAAUUCCGUUGACGUGAAGCUUAUUGUAAGACCAUAAAUUGAUCCAUCCCAUUUAGCAAUACCUGUUUUUAUUUCCACUUUAUCCAAAUUCCAAAGAAGCAUGCAAGAGGAGAAAGAGUUUUCACAAAGUACAUGAAUUCCCUUUGUGUGAAUCGUUUAAUAAGAAGACCCGCAUCAACAACUUCCACAGAGCCGUAAUUUUCUUGUAAAUAGAAUUUAUUUACAACAUAUGAGCUUGUAGUAGUCUGGUAAAAUGGUAAGUUCCCAAACUUUAUUUUUCCUGCAUUAUUUCCACUCAUAGUUCACAUAUUAAGCUCUAGCUGAUUCACAUGACUUUAGUCCUUUCUCUAAAAUUUAGAGUGACUUCCCCAAGAACACAAAUGAUAGUCCAAAUUAAUUCCUCCGACUUAACAUGCGGCCUAAUUUCAACACCAGCUACUAAUUAAAAGCAAAUAUGAAUGAAUGAUUUGCCCGUAAACCAAACAAUUACUAAUAAAUACUCCCUCUGAUCCUAAAUUCUUGACUUAGUCCAAAUAUGGAUGUAUCUAUUAUUAAAAAAACGUCUAGAUACAUGUAAUAUUUUGACAACAAUUUAGGAUCGGAGGGAGUAUCUUGUAAAGAAAAUAAAUUGACUUGAUCUUGAUCUAAAUUUUUAUGCGAGUAUAGAUAGAAGAAUUACGGAGAACUGUAAACUCGCGUUAUGUUUUGUUAUUUAAACUAUUAGAUUGUGUAUUUAACGAUCAAUAUUUAACGAGCAUGGCAUAUAAUUUGACACACACAUGAUCUAUCGUGCAAACAAUUGAUCCAUCAAAUUCUCAUAUGACUUUAAUUUUGUGUAUAGACGGAUUAUAACGCGUAAUUAGUCAUAUGAGAUAAAGAACAAAGAUUGAUAGGUGAUCUGAACUUUAGUUACAAAUUGUUGUAGUAAAAUAAAACCCUUAUAUGGGCCGGGCCGUGAAUCCUACGUGGCAACGACCAAGUCAAUAUUUCCCUACAAGGGCCAGGAUGCCUGCAUGGCACGGUCAAUCCUACGUGGCAACAAUCAAGACUAGUCAACAAGUCAAGCAUCUCAUGCCUUGGUCAAAGGGAGAAAAGAGCUUGAGUAGUGGGCAAGAAAGGUGUUGGGAUGGGGCCUUUAGUCCAUGGUGGACCAUGGACCAAACCCCCACUUUUCCCACUUGGUGCACACAAAAGCUAUGGACCAAGAAGCUACUUUUACCAUUUUGCCCCCACUUUUUUCUCUCUCUCAAGGGUAGCCAUGGUCUUUUGUCAUGUACCCCUAGGCUAUAAAUACUCCCCCAUGGGGGCAUGUACCAUUCACUCUCAACUUGAAUAAACUCAAUGGGAGAGAGCUAGAGAGCCUCUUUGAGAGGAGCUCUAGUUUCGGGAUCUCGGGAAGCCUCGUUCGGCCCGAACCCGAAGGAGAGGGAAUCGGGUUAGAGUCCUAAGGGUAUCUCGACCUCGCUACUUGGCAAGCCUCGCUCGGCCCAAGUACGAGGCGGCCCCUUUCGACCUCUCGCUAAGUGUUUCGGAGAGUCUUGAUCGACCCGAAACACUUUGGCUAACGAUUUCCUCGAAACCUCUCCUAACAUAGGACUAGGUCGCACCCGCAGGAUGGACCGAACCUAUUCAAAAAAUAUCGAUGUACCAACUUGUCCAAGUGUACGGCGACCUUCGCUAUAAGGCCGGCGUACACGCCCUACUUUUAUGCACUUGUGCCAUCGAGCUUGGACACCCCUUACUCUAAUUGUUGUCGAGAACAUAACACAAAUAAUAAGCAAAUAUCACCUAAUUUUGUUUUGCGCCAUCUGAAUUAUGUAUGCCAUUAUAUAAUAAAAGCACAAUACAUUAUCAUAGAGAGAAAACUGCACGUUGAUCCACAUGAUCAACUAAAUUAUUUAAAAUAUUUGAUUCUAUAUUUAGCAGUCAAGAUUUAAUGAUUUAUUAUCACGGACAUCCAACCUUCUAACAUAAGCAACUACGCGCGAUUUGCAGUGCAAACAACCAAUCCAUCAAUUUAACGUUUGAAUUUGAGCGUUGUUACAAAUGUGAUGUACGUCACAUAUGACCAAUUAUCUCAGGUACAGACCAGUGGUUGAUAGGUGAUCCGAACUUCAAUUACAAAUAAUGCUAAUUUAAUAUCUCGUGUCAAACAAUCAACGAUCUGAUGCGAAAGUUGAUCAACCAUCCAAUAUGCGAUCUACUCCGUAACUUUUAGUUCUAGAUUUUAAUAAAAAAGUCACUGAAAAAAGACAUUUGUCUCGUGUUUAAAACAUGUUUGACUCAAUAUUAAUUUCAUACUUAUAAGGUUAUGAGAUUAAUUAAUUCUACUUUUCUAUACCAAGGUUGAUUAAUCAUAUUUUCCUAACGACCUAUUGUAUAAAUAGUAGAACGAUACAUAUAUUCAGUUAGACAAUUGGAUCAUUAAAAAUGUUCCCACAAUUGCGCGGUACACCAUGCUAGUUUAGAGACAAAAGGAGUAGUUCAUAUAAAAACUAAACGGGAUUUGUAAUGAGCGAACGUUUGCUCUUUAGUCUCUCAGAAUGAACGGUCUACUGGCCAUCUGAUCGGGAAGACUGUACUCGAGAUUGCGCCACGUGUCUUGGAGUGUAACAACUUUAGUUAUGUGGAGUGACAACUUUAGUUUUGCGAGGAUGACAAUUUUAGUCUGUGAAAAUAACAACUUUAGUUCUGUGCGGUGGCAACUUUACCCCGUCGCGCUGGAAGACUAGAGAGCAAACGUUUAGUUAAGUGAGGUGGCAACUUUUGUUCUGCGGAGAUGUCAACUUUAAUCUGUACCAACAUUAGUUCCUUAUGAACGACAACUUUACCCUCAGGCCGAAAAGACAGGGAGCGAUCAUUCCAAAACUAAAUACCGGAACAGACCUCUCGCUCAAACACCUCAAAUUGGCUAUAACACAAAGUUUAUGACUGAUCCCCUGUGCUUUGACAUGGAGUGGUUCUCGUCGAGACCCGUGACCGUGAGGUAUUGGAGCACCUCAUGUCACACUCUGCUUUUUCCAGAGUUUGAAAAACAAAGAAGAGAGGUUAUCUUGGAGUUGCAAAGUUUUCUUUUUGCGAAAACGUACAAAGUCUUGCACGAGACAAACAGAGAACGACAGUGCCAUGUACUCGCUCGUUGUUUGACCCUAACCUUCCUUGUCUCCCGGUCUGUGUUGGACUGACGUGUGUGCGUGUUCCUGACAGACAGACGGAUGAAAGGCGCUAAACAUACGUAAUUAGUCAUCAGCAUGCCCAGGUUGGAUAGACUACUCAUAGUGGGAGGAACAUUGGUAGUAACAUAAGUCCCAACAAAUCAAUUUGAUGAUGUGACAUGCUAUUAAAUGAAGAAAGAGAGACUUGUGGUAGAUAUGUUACCAUCACAUCACACAUUUUAAGAUAGAAUAAGUCUAUAAGAUAAUAAAUAGGAUUUUUCAUGUUACCACAAAUAACAUAUGCAUGUUACUAGUUCAUGUUACUUUCCAUUAUGACUAACCUAAUUACUUGGACUCUUGAUUUUGGGUUGUUCUUAUUGGCGAGUUCCUUGUAUGCACAUUCGGCCCAUGCUAAAGCUGUCCUACGAGCUGGACCAUUAGCAGGCCUGAUUUAAUCGCAGCACUUAAAGGCCGAAAUUUGAAGACUGUGACCAUUAGUUUGCUCAUGGUGUUCUUACUCUAGAGCCUGGCCGGUAUUUUUGGCCUGUAACCCUCCAUGAUGAAUCAAUAAAGCAGUACUUACGCUCAAAAUAAAAUAAAGCAGUACUUUCCCCUGAAAAAAUAAGUAAUCAAAGUGGGUUCCUUAAAACGAAAAAUGAGGUUUGAACCCUGACCUUGUGCCUAUGGAGUCUAGACUUUUUGCCAAUAAAUGAACCAGGGCCAACGGAACAAGUGUAGACAGGGCAAAAAUACGCAUUGCGAUCCACACUUAGCUAGACAGAAGUACGUACACACAGACACAGUGCCAUAGUUUGAUGGAGUAUAUCUUAACUCCUAUAAAAGAACCAUUUGGUGGUGAUGGUACGUCGUCUAUUUUCUGUCUCUUACAUGUGGGACCUACCCGGUCUGUUCCGCUUCCAUCGGGAUAUCUACCUCUUCCCCCAUCUGCCAUGCCUUCCACUCCCUGCUCUGUCGCCGGCCUCCCCUCACCGCGCCUCCCUCCGCCCUAGCCUCCCCUCACCACGCCCCCUCCUCUCAUUUGUAGAAGGCGACGCGGCUGGCCCGCCAAAGAGCAGAUCGUCCAGGCGCUGGCCAAGAAGGAAUAGCAAGCGGGGAGGACAGAAAGGAGGUCGCCGGCGCCUGUGAGUUGCCGUGCGGUGGGUGCGAACGGAGCAGGAUCGGGCUCCCUGCCCCUCGCCCGGCAGAAGACACGCAGCCACGGAGCUGGCUCACCUCCACCACCGGCGCAAGUGAGUUCGCCGCCGCCUCCACCUCAUCCGCUGGUCAAAGUUCUGUUCCUUGCCCCGCAAAAAAAAGUUCUGUUCCUUGGUUUGGCUGCCCUAAUAUUUCUAGCAUGCCAAUCUAUGCCGCUGUUCAGGUAUCUUUUGUGAUAACAGUACCAAUUCUACUUGUCUCACCUGAAUUGCUAAUAGCCCAACACCAAUACAAAGGUGAGAUCGAAACUCCCAGGAGCACGUCCACACGAUUUAAGGAGUGCAGAGGGUGUGUCCCAAUAAUUGGUUGCCGGUGUGACCAAAUGUGCAAAAAGAAUAUCUUAGCCUGACGGAGUCCAUAUAUCGAUCUCAAGGUUGCAAGCAGGAGGCCUUUAUCCAAACAUUCUCAAGUUCUGCCAUGUCCUUCUUAGUACUGUGUGUUUUGGCCUGAAGAACAAUUUGCUGCAGCUUAUCAUUCUCGACCAACAAUGCUCUCUUUUCUGCCUUGGGUCACUCAACAGCAUCACGCAAAUACCAAUUGAAUCAUUCAAAAUUUGCGUGUUUGUAUUGUUGUACCAGCAAUAAAACCAUAAUCCACACCAGGAAAGUUAAUAAAGUUGGAACUAAAAUCUGACCAAGACAGAACAAAAAAGACAACCAGGAACUUAUCCUUGUUAAUUUAUUGGAAGUUCUGCACAAAUGAAAAAAGGUUCCAAGCAGGAGGCAACCGUUGCUGGUGACAGAACAAGGAGAAAAGGAGCAUGUAAAGGAAAUUACCAGCCAGUAUCGUGUUGUUAGUUCGUCAGUUAGCAAGCUUUCCAGUUGCAACGGGGUCAAAUGAUUUGUAUGGCUCGUGUAAAAAAGAGAGAAUGUUUAAUCUCCGACUUAAUAGAAAGAACUGCCGUGGUGUUCUAAUUCAAGUAAGAAUGAGCAAAUAAUAGCUAUAUGAAGUGAGAGCAUCACUUUCAAUACUCACAGUUAAUAGAACAUACAUGAUUCAACAGCAUCACCUUUUAGGCACUUGCAUGUAUAUAUAUUAGUGCUGCUAUAGAAAAGUGCAGUACUCGCACAUAAUAAAAAGAAAAAAAAAUGAUGUUGUUUGCAAUACUGGUAAUUCCAGCAAAAUUCAGUUUUUUUUUUACGAACGAUUCAGUUUACUGAUUUUGGAUAAAGGCUUUUUAGCCCUUAGAAAUGACACGACAAAAAUCUUUGCUCGUGAACGCUCCAAAAAAAGGGAAAAAACUUACUGAUAUUUAUCCAUAUAUGCACAAUCAACUUUGCUCUGUCAUUAGCAUUUUUUUUAACCUACGAGUGAUGUUUUUUACCGUGCGUUAUAACACUUGCAUAUUUGUUUUUUCAGUUUAUAACAUGGUUCAUGUCUUAUUUGGGACAACUUCUUUUUCUUGCAGAAGCACUGCCUGCAUAUUGGCAUUUCUAUUUCUCCUUGGUGACUUGUGAAGGCAGGUAAAGGUAAAGUCAAGGUUAGGGACAAGGAGUUAUCACAGCAACUAGGCUUUACAAACUAGACAUACAGUUGGUUACAUUGUAUCUUUUACUUGGUUACAUUUGCUAUUUGGUACACCGUAUCAGCAAUGAUGUCCGCCUCCUAUUUGUAAUUUCUUCAUAUAUAUACAUUUUUAAUCGUGCAAUUUAUUGUAUGUCAUAUUUUGUAGGCCUGUAUGAGCAAUGAUCUCCACCUCCUAUUUUUGCGUUCACUUAAAGUUUCUUCGAGCAUGAUUCACUGAAUUUGAGUAUGUAGGUCUGCUAGGGGGCUAAGAAGAUGAGUGGAGUUUAUUUCUGGCAUUGAAGUGCCAGAGGGAAGAAGGAUUAACAGAUAUACUUGCAUAGGUAUUAGCAUAUGAGAAUUAUACUUGCAUAGGUACUAAGUAUUCGUUAAUCUGCUGCUCUCAAGAAGGUAUCGUUUUCUCCUUUCCUCGUCUCUGUAACACUGACAUAUUCAUUUCUAAUUUGUAGACGUAUCAUGAUUACUUCUCAUACUGAUUAAUGACAGUAAUGCUUUACAUGACAUUACAAAUGCAAAUCAGUUAGGUAUGCAAGACAACUUUUUCUCUUGUCUCCUCAAGCUGUUUCCUGUGUCAUCUGAUUGAAAGAGACCCAGUAAGGAAUUCAUACUGAAAUCCUUUAAGUGCUUCAUUUGAAAUCCUCCAGAGUGCUCUUUUCUGCAUUAACCGUUUGCUAGGGGAAUUUGUUAAACAAAGUGUAGUCUUAGUGUUGCAAUCCCAAAACACACCAGCAGAAACCAGAAAGAAACAUGGCAUUCUUAUUUAAGUAUCUUGUUUUUCUUCUGCAAAUCAAGUUGGUACCAAAAAAAAAUGUCUUUUAUAGAAUGCAUAUAGCUCUGUUUCCUGUAUCAAAAAAGAAAAGAAAAGAAUGACUACAGCUGUGAUCUGAUUAUGGGAUGGAAUGCUUCGAUAUUUUCUGAUUAUGUAGGCAUCAUUAAUCCUUUAACUCUGGAUGUGGUUGAAUUCUAUAAUACGUGUUCUCUCCAUUGCUACUUGUAUGUUAUUAUAGAUUGUCAUAAUGUUUGCGGCUAAAUUCAUUCAAUUUGGGAGCAGCUUUGUUGGAUGACUUCUUCACUUCUUCACCAUGUAUCUAAAAUAGAGAGUCGCAGUGUUGAAUGGGAUGUGCAUCUGGGGUUGGUGGUUCUGAAGCAUUUGUUGUGUUGGCAAACUAAUAUGAGAUUGUGUUGGGAGUCUAUUCAUUUUUAACCUUUUCUAUCUCAUGUGAACUAUUAGGCAAAUCAAUACGAAUUUUGAGAAGUUUGACUGCUGAAAGAUUUACUCACCAUAUUCACUUAAGUGUUCACCUGGAGUCUUUCUACACCCAAAAUUGAAGCUAGCAGUUUUCUUUAAGAAAUUCUUUUUGCGCAAAAGUUUUCUUUAAGCAAUUAUAAGGGCUUUAUGCUUUGUGUUGACAACAACUUGAUGAUUACCAGAAAUAUCUCAACAUGUUAAGUCAUUUGAACUGAUUUUAUUACAAGCACCACACUCUAAAAUCUCGUCCUUUCAAUGUAUGUGCUGAUCGAACAUUUUAUGCUUUAUAAUUAGUUAAAAAAAAUAUUAUUAUCAGUUAUGAAGAUUGAGAACAUCAACAUGAUACUACUAAAUCUAACACGAAAUAUAUUUUUAUAAUGCUUAUUGUUUGACUUAAUCAAUGUAUUUUUAAAUAAAUUGGUGGCCAGAAAUCACAUUUGAGACCAUGUCAAUAAUCAAAGGAACAUAUUUUAUAGCAGAGAGAGUGUUAUGACUUAUGAUUCGGUAACACAAAAGGAAAAAUUAAUUAGGUUUUUCAAACAAUAUCCGACUACGUAUGCGUGCUUUCGUUGCACCGUCACUUUGCUGGUCUGUGUAUAUAUACUUUCUGCAUCGACAUACUGCCAUACUGGUACUGUAGCUAGUCCCGUUGUAGCCAAACCAAUGGUACCGAAGUAGCAGAUGGACGCAAGUUGACUUGGAGUCGAGAGGAGCCCACCCUGCCACUGCAGCAGGCAGCAGCCCGUAGUCCCGAUCCCCACGGCACACCCCGCUAAACACUGCUCGUGCCGUGCAGCGGGCCAUGGCACGGGAGAACGGCCACUGGUACUACUGCUGGCUAGCGUGCGCGGGUGUACUAGACAUGGGGCACCUUUUGGUCAUGCUUGCUCGCACACGGCCACGGGCCGCGCAGCAUGUCCCUACCGGAAGAAACAAACAAACAAUUAGUGGUGCCUUUAGUUUAUUUACGGUCCUUUCUUGCGUGUUUGUGUGGCUUUUGCAUCUGCCUUCCUCUGCUGGGCGGUGUCUGUGGCCGCUGGGGCAGGGGAGACACGGGCGCUAGGAAAAAGGAGCGGGAGAAAGAAGCUCAUCAUGUGAACCCCCUUCCAUGGGCCAUGGCUGCUCUGCACAACGCACGGGCUCCUGUCCUGCUCCUCCUGCUGUUCCCAUGCAUCUCUCUUCCUGACACCAGUAAAAAACUGUGCGUUUAUAGUACUUGCUGGCAGUAAAACAAAUCAAGUGCGGAGAGUGCAUGCAUGCUCUCGGUGUGGACCGCUUUUUAUAUUUGUUCAGACGAAGUUCUGUGUAUGUAUGGUACUAGAGCGAAUAAGACAGGAAAAUUGAAUGAAUUAUUGGAGUUUGGUACGUGUGCAGAAUCUUCUCGCGCAACCGUAACUAUAGAUGAUACUGAUGUUUUGCUAUGCAGGAAAGCACUCUUGGCGAGGAGAAUAUAUACAUGCACGACGAUGGAGCCGCUGGGAAAAAAGCGUGGUAGUGAAGCGUGUCGUGUUUUGCUCCGACAAGAGGUACUAGUGCCGCUACAAAGUGCAGCAGUACUUGCUUAUCCUGCAACUAGCUAGCUAUAGCGAGUGGAGUAGCGCAUUUGAAACAAAAGCAGGUUCAUCUUGACGCGCCACGGACGGACUGGGUGAUGCGCGCAGGCAAGGGGACCCCGUCCGGUUGCUUCUCGACUGGUUUUGCACGACGCCAGGAAAUCUUCCUUUGAUCGUGGCAACAAUGAGGAGGCAGACAAAGCCAGAGCCGCAGAGGAGAGAUAGAUGAGGUAGAGCAACCACUGGUCUACUGGAGGUCGAAGUGUGAUGAUGCAUGCGAUGCGCAUGGACGGAGAGCAGAGGAGAGUGGCAGCGAUCGUGCUAGUAGGUUCGUUCAGGCGCGCGGCAUGCAUGCAUCCACCGGCGGCAGCCAGCCAACCCACUACGGCUGCUCCGCGCGCAUGUGGCCGGCCUCUGGCUUUGCUUUACUACAGUUGCCUGCCUGCCUGCGCGGUUCGCCGCAAUUGUUGUGGGGGUGGGAACUGAACUGGCAGCGGCAGCCCUCGGGAAUCCAAGAGGCAAUGCGAUGUGUUGACAAUAUUUGUUCUCUUGUCCAUAGGUCAGCGAUAAUUGCCAUCCGCAUUUAACCCACUGCAUGCAUGCACUCAUUUUUGUAAGUACCGGUUUAAUAAUACAAUGGCAAUCGGAAGCGGUCUGGCGUGUCUUUAAGCUGGAAACAAGAGUGACGUCAAACUGAUUAGUAUGAGUAGUUCUGGAUUUCAAGAUACGUAAAACCUGAAUCACUGUCAAGGAGGAGGUGUUUAGAAAUCGUUAAAUUUGACCCCCAUCAUCGUGGUAGGGAAGAGAGCGACGUCUCCGCGGCCUUGUCGGAGGGCGAGGCUCCCCCGGCCGUUUCCAUGUCCACCGCGCUGCGCCCCAACGUCACAACCGCUUGCGCCUUCAGAUUCCUCGAGUCCGCGGACGCUUGCCAAAAGCUAAAACAAAGACACACGAAACCCAACCCAACCUGAGUCAGCCUCAAGUACGGGAAUGAAAUGCCUCACGAUGCAUUCCGGCGAUUCAGUAGCGAGUAGCGACUCAAGACUUUUUUUCUAAUUAUUACUACCCUUUUUUUACACACAAAAAUUGUUGGUUACUGGAAAAUGCACUCGGAAUACCAGAAUAGAACAACGUUAUCAUGGGGCAUAGAAGGUGUCGGACGUGCCAAUGAUCAUAUGUGCUUUUAGCCCGCAAAAGAACAAUACUACUGCCAUGAUACUACGUCUUUUGGCUAUAGUGCUAACGGACCAAACGUGCAACUCCUAGUGAGUAGUCCUAAUAAAAAGGGAACGUUCCAUAUGUAACAUCGCGUUUUCGCUCUCUCCAAGUUGUUUGCUGGGGUACUCCAAAGCAAAUUACAAGACAAUUCCCUCUUUGGGGGAAAGCUGUAUCCCCACCUUCGCUGUCGGACUCUCUUGUGACACCAAGGCUAGGACCGUGUUUCCAUCCAUGCGUGUGAUUGGUCUAAGUCGAGUUACUACUACUAACGAGCAGUGCAAUCCGGUGGCUGCAUUUGGCAGCAACCAGGAGACUAGCAUAAUUAAUCAGCCACCUCCAGCUUUGCUUUGACUUGUUGCUCUGGAACCGCGGUCGAACUGUACUCGACGCAACGCACAGGCCAGGGCGCAGGGUGGCGACCAAAAUACAAACGCCAGGAGACAAGAGGACAAGCAGACAAGGACGCACGCAAAAAAGAAAGGAAACCCAAUAACAAAGAGCAAGGAAAAUAACCCGUGAAAAAUCCUCCCGGUCGGCCACUUUUAUUACUAGCUGUGUGUGUGAGUGUUUAACAAGUCGUCUCCCCCCACCCACUCGCCUCCGAUUCCAGACAAAACCUCACCUCCACUCCCCCCCGGCUCUUCCCCACCGGCUCCAAUGUCGCCGCCCCUCGAGCCGCACGACUACAUCGGCCUCUCCGCCGCCGCCGCCUCGCCGUCCCCAACCUCUUCCUCCUCGUGCUCGUCCUCGGCCAACCCCGGCGCCGAGGUUGGCCCCCGCCUCACCCUCCGCCUCGGCCUCCCGGGCUCAGAGUCCCCCGACCGCGACAGCUCCGCGGACGUCGCCGCGGCGCUCACCCUCGGCCUCGUCUCCACCCACAAGGCCGCCUCCAAGCGCGCCUUCCCCGAGGCCUCCCCACGCCGAGGAGGCUCUGCCGCCGCUGCAGCUGGCGCGAGGGGCGAGGAGAAGGCGCCCGCCGCUGCUCCCCCUGCCGCCAAGUAAGAUUCGAUCCGAUCCGCUAAGGCGGAUGCUUUGCCCCUGAAAUUGGAUGUGGUGUUGGCCCGCCAAGUACUGAUCGACGGCGUGGUAUUGUGGAGCGCAGGGCGCAGGUUGUGGGAUGGCCGCCCGUGCGGAACUACCGCAAGAACACGCUGGCGGCGAGCGUCUCCAAGAGCAAGGGGGGAGAGGAGGGUGCAGCAGCCCAGGGGGGACCUCAGUAUGUGAAGGUGAGCAUGGAUGGUGCCCCUUACCUCAGGAAAGUGGACCUCAAGAUAUAUUCUAGCUACGAGGACCUCUCCACGGCACUCCAGAAGAUGUUCAGCUGCUUCAUCACUGGUUAGUACGUCACUGCCGCUUUCAUUGUUAGGAAGCUCGUUGAAUGGAUCCAAUGCUGCGAAAGCAGAGUGUUGAAGAUUCACCUCCUAAAAAUCUGCAACUUGGUACUGAUGAUUGCAAGUCAUUUAGUAUCACGCAUCCAAACUCAUAGUUAACCACCCAAAACUUGGAAUAAAAACUACUUCCUCCGAUCCUAAAUUCUUGGGGGAGUAAAAAAUUUCCCUUCCUGUCCUGAUGAUUAUUCACAGGAAAGUACUCCCUCCGAUCCUAGAUUGCUUUAGUAUUUGGGGAAUAGCAUUUAUAUAGUAAAAGCAUAUGUUGCAAUCAUCAUAGUUAGCCAUCCAAGAUUUGCAGCCAAAAAAACAUGCAAUUAAUCUUAUAUCACUGCAUAAUCUAGGCUUCGUCUUUACUGGAUCGUUGCUCAAUGUUUUGUCGAUCUCUGUCGAUUAACUGAUUAGCUGUCCUGGAGACUGGAACUACUACAAUUUCAACAAACGCACAUAGUUCAAGUUCUUAAGGAUGAAAUAGUACACAAGAAUAGUAUCAUACUCCUUCCGUUUCAAAAGCGAUGCCAUAUUUAAGGUUGGGGCACAAGACUUGGAGCAUGAGUUAGAUGUCAAUGUCGCCCUUCAAUCUUUUUCACGUCCAUCACUUUUUCCUCACCAAAAAUAUUGGUUGGCACCAUGGAGCGACACUCAUGCCCACCGUCGGAUGUUCUCAUUGGGCUGUGGAGCAAUCGUUCCAUGGUGCUGAACCACACAUCUAUAUCCUCAUCAAGGCAGUUAGCUCUUUUUCCAAAAGCAAUAAAUCCAAGUAAAGGCAGGAGUAUUUAGCUUGUUUUUUAUGAUAUUGAUGAAGGACGAAACAAGAAAAAAAUGACUAAAACUGCAUUGAAAUGUAGAUUGUAAAGAACAUGUAUUUUGACAAAAGUUGAAGAGGCUGAAAGGACAUCUAUUUGAAAUGGAGGGGGUAUGAUGUUUUAGCAGUUUAUUUUCAUAUUCCUUAGAAAGACUUGAAUCCUCCCUCCUUACCUCCCUCUCAUGAAAUGUCUACUAAGACUCUGAUUUUAAAGGUCAAAGUGCUAUGCGGAAACCAUCUAGCAAGGACAGGCUUACCAAUGGUUCAAAGGCUGAUUCCCUCCAAGAUCAAGAGUAUGUCCUUACAUACGAAGACAAGGAUGCGGACUGGAUGCUUGUUGGUGAUCUUCCAUGGGAGUAAGUUUCUAUAUCUUGUGCAUUCUUCCCUUGUCAAUACUAUUCCUGGUGUUUUUGGAGAAAACUAGGAUUGAUGUUCUUUUGCCUUGCCCCCUUUUGCCAUGUUAUAUCACCAUAUUUGGGUGCUCUAAAUACAAAAAUCGUGGAACUUUAAUCUUCUAGUGCAGAUGGAGUUGCUUAAGUUCAUUUGUUGUUAUGCUGUUCUGGGGCUCAUUAUGAAAAAUAUGUGGUACAGUUCGAUUUACUGUUGAGCAGAUAUUAGGAUAUCCACUUUUUUUCAUCAUUUGAACGUGUCGCCUCAAUCUCAUAUGACGCUAAUAGUCAGAUAAAAACUUAACAAUAUUUCUUUAUUGGUUUUGCACUAGCAUCACUGCAAUGAAUUUUUUGAUGGAACUUUGAGUAAAGCUUGCAAUCUAGCAUAAUACUCAUGUGUUGCUACUUGCUACUGGCUUAAAAACACUUGUUUAAUGAGAAUGUUGUACUAUUAUCUUGGAUCAUAUACUCCAUAUUCGUUCAUAUCUCAAUGACUUGUGCUAAAUCAACAAGUGAUGCAAAAAAAAAGACAUGGCCCGAAGGUCACGUACCGCCGUGACCAACUGAGUCUUUUAUAGGAGUAAAGACAAGGGUGUGACUGAAUCUAUUAGUUACUUAAAGAGUAACUUUGAACAAGGAUAAGCUUGUCACUUCCUUUACCCUGAAAAUGCAAUGAAUUUGUUGGGCUGGAGUUGGGACUUGCGAGCACAGUUGAGCUAUAUCUAAGAUGCGCAAUUUGUUAUUGCUUCUGUCUCUGUAUUGUCGAUGACAAGGCCCAAGCUUUGCAAAAUUAACUACCGACUUUAUGCAGGCAUGUGCAACCAUUUGAGGCAAUGUCAAUCGAUGAUCUCUAGCCUGAAUGCACAAGAUAGCCAGCUUAGAUUUGUUAAUUCAUCACUACUAACAGAUAUAGUUAAUUGCUUUAAGCCUUUAAGAUUCAUGAAUUUUUGGUUCUUAUCUUGUAAGAGGUAGUAUGAAGGUCCACUUCUAUGUACCAUCCCCUUCAUGUUUUUUUAAUAAAAAAAACAUGCAUAUGCUGUUGGUGUUAAAUUCGCUAUUGAAGUUUCCUGGCAUCUCGUCUAAUGUAUAAUCUACAAAUAGAUUGCCAUGUAAUAUUGCUGUUUCUUUCAUACAUGUAUAGGUUAUCACUCAAUAGUCAAAUACUUAAAAUUUGAUAAUUCCUGACCUUAGUUCUCCCUUUGCAGUUUGUUUACCACUAUCUGCCGGAAACUGAAAAUCAUGAGAGGAUCUGAUGCAGCUGGAAUAGGUAUUUGCAAAUUUUACCAGUAGAUAUAUUGAAAGUACCAGUCUUUGUUUUGAAUGCUUCACCUGAACAACUUUAGUUUGCAAGAUCAUUACUACAGUAUAAAAUUAUGCAACGACUAUGUUUCCCAGUGUUGCAUAUGAUUUAUGGUCACUAGUGUUGAUCCUGUCCUUAUGUACAUGAGAACAAAAUGUACAGCAUUAGAUGAUAUGAAUGGAGUCUAAAUCCUGCCCACCGCCAAACUAUAGGUUGCAUGCCACUUUCAUUUACAAAUACUCAAAUAAUUUCUCUCAGUUGACGCAAGUCCAAACCGUGGCUGAUAUGAUGAUAAAAUUCGGACAAGCAGAAACCAAUAGCUGGGAUCUGUUGAAACCUGAACUUUUAACUUGGAAUCUGCUUUCUUUGUCAGCAACUAAAACAGUUACUGUUAAAUGGUUAAAUCUUAUGCCUGUUUCCAACUUCUGAGCAUUAGGUUUUUGUAGAUUAUUUCACUCAGUUGUAGGAUUGAUAUUCUACACAAAUCUAAUGCUCAGAGGUUGGCACUCCCAACUUGUGGCUACUGAAACAUAUCCCAACUACUUACUUGCAGCUCCAAGAUCCCUAGAGCAGACAGGUCAGAACAAAUAAGAUUGAUCUUUAUCUGGAGCAAAGAAAGACAACCGAGCUUAAGCUGUGAGAUGAUGUUGCAGAAAAAAAUGAUUCAUGCCAAGUGUCUCAAAUAUCCGAAAUGUUAGUGUAGUUUCAUGUGUUUCUGUGACCUGUGCGUUGCAUGUCUGUAAUGUGAUCUGUUAAGAUAUUGCAAUUGUGGGUUGCCCUAUUUCCCCUAGUAAUGUCAGUAAGCUCUGUGCUUUCUGUACUCAUAUAUAUUUCCAGUGUUGUACUAAGUGUUCUACUCAAUUGAAAUUAUCCAAAUGCUGCAUGUUCUGUUCAGUUGGAACUUUUUAUUGACAAUAUUCUGCUCUGAUCAAUCAGCUUGAAACACGUAAAUUGUGUUUUCAACACAUUAGAAAAUAGCUACACUAUAGUACAAUUUAUUGUGCACCAAGAAGUACACAAUCGGGCAAUCCAAAUAUUUACCAUUCUGUAGCUAAUCAAUGCGCAUAAGGAGAACGAACAGUAAAUUGCUCUGAAGGUGAUGUAUACAAGCAGUCAUGGAUCUUACAAUCGACGGUGUUUCUUCAUUAACCAUUUCCCUUGCCUGGAAAGCAUCCUGGUAAAUUUGAGAGCUCGAACUAACGAGCUGGACUAGACGAAGUGGUAGAACGUUCUACCACUUCCUGAAGAUUCACCCCUUUCGUGUCCACGGGGCGCAGCAGACUCGUCGGUCAGCGAGUCGUUCUCGAGAAGACCCGUCUCCGAUCCUCCUCGGGUCUCGUCUUCCUCACAGGCCGUCCCACUGUGCGACUCGGCUGUCUCGAUGCGGCACCGAGUGCACAGUUGCGGGGGACAUGCCGCCGCGCCAUAGCUCUUGUCGUCCGUCUUCUUGCGUCCAGAAGCCGCCGGCGCCGUGGAUUUCUUGGUACCGCGCGCGGGACUUUCUGCGCCGGAGUUCUCUUCGCUGGCCUUCCUCUUGCGCCCAGAGGACUCAGUUGCCGCGGUGGAGUCCGCAUCUGUUGCGGGCCCGGCGCGCGGACUCCGGUAAACCUUGUACAGCACGAGCUCGUCCGAUGAGCCCUUGUGUUCGCCAUAGUUGAGGCCGAGCUCAACCAUGAUCCAUCCCGUACGGAGACUCUUGCCACACUCCUCGUCCUUCUUCAUGAAAGAGAAGAACUGACGACAACCUAUCUGGCGGUCGCCGUCGACAACGUCCCUCACGCCGGACUCCGAGUGCCAGCACCCCUGGCCGGAGCCCACCGUGCGCGGCCUCCGCUGGCCGCGGAUUCUCUUGGCCGGCAGGGUGGUGAAGAAAUACCAAGCCUUCUCGCCGUCGCUUGCCGUCGCCGGGGAGUACUGGCCGCUGAGGACGGCGGGUUCGGCUGCGUAGACGUCGACGUCGUGGGUGAACUUGCAAGGAUGCUCGCCGGACGCGAGCCGCGGGAUGAGGUAGGACUUGAUGAGAUCUUGGUCGGACGGAUGCUUUGCGAAGUCCGGGCGCGUUGGGGGCGCGGAGGAGCCUGAGGGAACCGCCGCGACCCUUGGAGCGGCUGACGUGCGGCGAAUGGGCGAAGAAGGAAGAAACGGAACCUGAGGAGGUCGGCAAGCCUCGGCGCGGGGAGUCAGCGCUGCGUCACCGGUGAUGACGCGUUGAAUCUGGGUCCGAAGUGGAGCCGCAGACAGAGACGUAUCAAUUACGACAUGGCUGGACGAAUCCUGGUCGGAGUCGGACUCCGUCGCUGCCGAGUCAGUGGAGCUGGAGGCUCGAGCGGGCUGGGCCGAAUAGACUGAGGCCUUUGCAGGCCCAGCUCCUGACGCGUUCUCUUCAGACGAGGCAGAGCAUUCCCCGGCUUUUCCCCUUCCAAUCUUGGGCACAACCCUCCUUGCCGCCGCCGUAGAUCCGGUCGGGGGCGCCUCGCGCGGGGUCCGGUAGACCUUGCACAGGACAAGCUCCUCCUCCGAGGAGCCGGAGGGCGUGAGGCCUAUCUCGGCCAUGAGCCAGCCGGACCGGACCAGCCGGCCGUCCACCUUGGUGGUGAAGGAGAAGGCCUGCCGGUAGCCGAUCUGGCGGAUGUGGACGAUGCCGGAGAAGAGGGGCUUGGCGGCGCGCUCCGAGUGCCAGCACCCGUCGUCCCCGGAUCCCACCGUGCGCGACUUCCGCUGGCCGCGGCGGCUCUUGGCACGGAGGGGGGUAAAAAAGUACCACGCCUCUUGGCCGUCGCUGGCCAGCGCAGGGGAGAAGGUGCGGGCGAGGUCUUCGGGGUUGGCGGCGUAGACAUCCGCGUCGUGGAUGAACUUCCAAGGGCGGUCGCCGGUGGUGACCCAGGGCUUGAGGUAGUUGUCGAUAAGUUCUAGGUCGGUGGGGUGGGAGGAGAAGUCCGGGCGCGGCGCGCCGCGUCGGAUGGGAGCCAUGGCGAUUUGGGGGGAGCGAGGGAUAAAUUGCCGUGUGGAGGAGGAAUGGGUGGGGAUUGUUUUAGCCGGAGGAACGAGGUAAAGCAUAUAUAGCACCAGCAAUGACGCGUUUAAGCCUGAGUCCGAGUUCGCAUCGGGGUCGGAGACGUACUAAUUACGCAACCGCAGGCUGGAUUACAAUUAAUUCCUGAUGAAUCCGAGUUCAUGAUGGAGACGUACCAAGUACGCCAACGCAGGACUUCGACUUUGAGUCGGUUUGGCUGGGAUGGGCUGGGCUGGGCCGAAUAUAACUCAAAGCCAGGUGCGCAAUCAUGUGUUGCUAUCCUUUCCUGGUCACUUUUUUUCCUUUUUUUUUGCGGAUCUUUCCUUGUCACUUUCAAGCCCAAAUAAGAUUGAGAAAGAAAAAAAAUGAACGAACGUAUGCACAUCGGGUCAUCGGCGUUAAGAAAGCAGACGCGCUCCUCUCAAAAAAGAAAGAAAGGAGACGCUAAUUGAGAGUAUUUGCAACGAAUAUGUUCGUUGCAAAAAAAAUGUAAUAUUUGCUGCUUUUGGUCUUUCUGACAUUCUGCAAAUGAUAACAAAAAUGACGAGCAGAUCCAAAUGUCAUAAGAACAAUGAAAUCUAGGUACAAUUUUCCACAGAUUACGAAAUUAAAAAUCAAGAAAAAAAUCAGGAAGGCAAAACAAGAUUUCAAUGGAAAGCAAUUAAAUCUCAAUAAGACUUGGAAAUCAGUUAUGAUGCCAACCUGUCCUUGCCGCUAGCGGUGCGCAACAGGAGAGAAACAGACGGGGCGGCAAAAAAAGACGCCGCGAUGACGUGUUGACAGGCUAUGAUAGCGUAAUGUCACGCGCUCGCUAGUAGAAAGCAGGCCCGAGAUCACCCAAACAAAAUAAGAAAUGGAAAGCAAUUAAAUCUCAAUAUAGAUUUCUUUGAUUAGGAUGUCAGCCUGUCGUUGUCGCUGGUGGUGCGGAACAAAAGGAAUGUGACAACAACAGAUGAGCACCAUGAUGACGUUGACAGGUUAUGAUAGCGUGAUCAUCGUGCACAAAAAAUCAUAUGAAACAUUAAAAAUAUGCAAUUAAGUUCUAAAGGAUUAGAUACGUCUUUGACAUAUCAAGGCGAAUGGGGUGUAACCGAGACAAUCUGGAUAGGAAAACUUCCAGCGCAAAUCAGCAGGUCAAGGAUGGGAAAUCUGGUUUGGUAAAACAUGAAGCUACCAAAGCAACUAAGCAAGGACAAUGCUUCCACGAGCAAUGACAAGGCUUCCUCGAGCAUUGACAGAGUAUGCAAGAAAAUUUCCCGAAGACAUUCCAGUGAGUUAAUGGAGCAACUACAUAUGCCCAAAAACAUCACGAAAAACUCGAGUUCACUUACUCCUAUGCUCCAUCGACGUCUAUGUUUUCCGCAUGACCAACCAUUGAUGUGGCUAUAGUAGUUUGUAAUUCUAGACGUUUCGGUUGUUGCCUCCGGUGUACCAAUCUGACAUUGUAUUUGACCGGAUUUUUCUUUGUGGGGAAACAUGUCUUUUCAUUCAUGUGGGACUAGUAACACACCCUGUGUUUCUAUGGAACAAUAAAACUUGUUUAGCCACAAUUUAUAGAAUUUAUAAAGGGUCUGUCUAGAUCUCAAACGACUGAGGAAAAUGUACUUCUCAGUCGAUUCAUCAUCCGCGAGAUCGAUCGAUAUGUAGCACUGCCUAGUUCGUUUUUGUCCCGCUAUGUUAUGGUUGACGGACCCAAAUUAUAACCCACCUGAUACUACUAAAGCAAUACAAACAAGCCCACAAAAAUAAAAAUUAACACAACCCCAAUAGUUCAGUCCACACUUUGUGUUUCAUUAGAAAAAUACUCCCUCCGUCCAACAAAAGAUGUCUCAACUUUGACCAAAUUUGAGUGCAUCUAUACACUAACUCAUGUCUCAUUUUUUGUUUGACGGAGGAAGUAGUUGCAACCUCAUGGUACUAAGAAAAUAUAGCUGCAACCCCAUGCAAAAGGGAAAAUUAUAGUUGCAAUUUGUUGUGCAACUGAAAAAAAUUACAAGCUGAAAUGAAAAGGUUACAGUUGCAACAUGAUAAAACAGAGAAAAUUGCAGGUGCAACUAAGAAAAUUACAAUUGUAACCCCUUGCAAUGGGAAAUAUUACGGUGUGGCUUCAAAAAUUGCAUUUGCAACAUCUAUGCAACUAAAAAAAUUUACAAUUUCAACCAUGAUGAAAUUGAAAAAAUUAUAACCAGAACCAUUGUGCAGCUGGAAAAAUUACAAUUGCAACCCACAUGCAAACAAUAAAAUUGCAAUCGACACACAAAGAAAAAACCAACAAAAGCUUAGUGCCACUUGAGUUAUCUUUGGGAUUUUUAAAAAUCUCAAGACAAGCAAGCAUGUUGAAUAUUAAUAUUGAAAACAAUAGAGUAAGAAAAAAAAAGUGCAAUAGUUUGCCGAUUGUAUCAACCUGUAACAGAACUCCCUCAAUGCCUCGACAAAGAACCCCACGAAGCUUUUGGUCUCCCCACCAAUCCCACCCUAAUAAAGAAAACAAGACCCACAAAAGAGACCAAAAAGCUCAAGCCGCAGAUAUACAAAAGCUUGCGCCAGCCCUCAAAGCAAACUCAGGACACGAGUCCCAAAAAAGGUCAAAGCAACCAAUGUGGGACACGAUCGAUCUCCUCGCGACCUGAAGUUCAAUGACCCACGCAUCAACUAAGAAAAAAAAAUCUCAGGUGACUGAUCUCUAGCAAAACCGAUUUAUAAAUGAUGGCCAACCAUUUACAACUCAAACGAACAAUGUCCUCUCUAUGCAGAUGUGACUAUGCACCAUUGCGCUCUCUUAUGUACCAUGGCACUCUCUUCCAGCUGCCUUCCUUACUCUUUGAUGUGCAUUUUCUAACUCCACUCUCACGUGUAAGAAUACAGAGAAUAUGAACCGGACAAAGUAUCUACCUGAAAGCCCCAAAGGGUGAAAAUUAUUCUCCCUGUUCCCAUACAAAGAACGUAUAUAUGUCACUUAAAGAAAUGUAUAUAUGUACAUCACUAUCAUAUAUGCACGUUUCAACAGCUUAUAUAUGCUUAUACAAUUGAGUCCCCAAGCGGGUGUAUGCAGCGGGAUGCAUAUCCAUCCCCAACUUUUAGUGGACAAUAGCUAGUGUUUUUUUGUUAAUCGCCACUUGUGUUUGUAGGCGAGAAACGAGCAACACUGAUAUUUUCGAACUGAUACAACAUGUGUGUUCUGAAAAUUAGGUUGACAGUCAUGGAUCUAAACUAUGUGGGUAGAUAUAUGCUCAUGGACAGGGUAGCAUGCACGGUCCAUGCAACAAACAACUCAAUUGCAUUAAAACUGAAGCCAUAAUCUGCUUGUUAUCCAGAUUUGCUUACACUUGGUUUUAGUAGUGAUAGCAUUUGGAUGGAUUCACGAUGCUCAGAAAGCAGCAUUGCAAAACUAGUAAAAAUGCUUAUCCCCUGUUAGUAUGAAUGCACAGAACACAAAGCAGCAAGCAAACCGUCAGAUGCAUCUAAUUUACUGGAGCAAAUUGCAGAGUAUUCAGGCUGAAACAGAUGCUGGCAGAGAGCGUAGCGAGGGAGGCCAGCGAGUAUCCAUGCAUCGACUUUCCCUCCGUCGAGUAAGUAUAUAUUCAAACACUCCAGCAUAUAUGAAAUUAAAAGUAUGUGUCAAAUCUAAUUAGCUUAAACAUGCCGCGAGAUACUUCAAAAGAGCAGCAAAAUUAUGCUAAGAAAAGGAAAGAUUAUAAAACAAAGGGAAAAUGUAUGAUAUGUCGUGAAUAGCUCCGUGGAAUAAAAUAGAAUUUCCUUAUGCAUAGAACUUUUUUACCCAUCGGUCAGUAGAAAUUAUGAAUUGCUGUAAUGGAUCUUUCUAUUUUCUAUUUUUCUAUAUAGUAGAAUAUAAUGGCUCUUUCUUACGAUACAAGAGUUUCUUACAGGAGUGAAACAAAACCAAAGAAAAAGAAAAAAGAAUAACGUUUGACAAAAUGAUCGAUGCAAAAUGAUCAAUUAAAGAAAAGACUUGAUACAACAAUUCGAUUACUCAAUCAAUUAGUAGUAGUAUCCCUAGAGUCCACUCCUCCCCCACACCACUAGUGAAAGAGAAAAUGUAAAGACUACCAUUAAAGCAGCCCAAGCAAGACUUACUAUAUCCAUCUAAAUUACGUCUCCUUUUUCUAUGAAGGUUUUUCUACUAUUGAUCAAUAAUCAUAGCGGAAUCAAGGGUACAGAGUCAAAAAGGGAUUCUGCCCUAAGGCUAUGGAUCAAUCAGUUCCAAGAAUUUACUCCUAACAAAUUAUUAUAGGAAUUCUGGUAGAAUUAGAGAACAUUAAAUAUAAAUGCGAUACAUAGCCCUUUCUUUUCCGUAAAAAAGAAUACGGGAAUGAUGUCCUGAAUAUAAGAAGCGGGAAUAGGAAGAUUUUUUUAUUCCUUUUGUUACUCUUUUUUUAUAAGUAAAGGAACGCCUGAAUAUACCAUAAAAUUAUGGAUAGGAUAGAUAAAU
RNAcentral lists this long non-coding RNA (81602 nucleotides) under Brachypodium distachyon (stiff brome). RNAcentral describes it as "long non-coding RNA (BDIS_LNC002563)". The stretch from base 21525 to 21649 matches the Rfam family "MIR1120/MIR1122 microRNA precursor family". The record is from RNAcentral. Lineage: Eukaryota; Viridiplantae; Streptophyta; Magnoliopsida; Poales; Poaceae.